AAAACUAUAAAUGAACAAACUUUUGAAGCCUGUAACUUACAAUAAACACAAACCCAAAAAUGACAUUUAAAUCCUGCAAGUGUUUUUUCAUCAUCCCUAACAAAAAGAAACAAGAAUAAUUAUAUACCAAUAAUUUUUCUACAAAAAAUUAUAGACUCAAGGGAGGAUUAAGCGGCGGAGCUGUUGGUGUAGAUGAAGAGACAGGCUGCAUCAUCGGCGCAGAGGAGGAUGGAGGAGGAACAAAGAAUAAGGAAGGCUUUACGAGAUUAGGUGUCCCGUUGCCAGAUUCAGAGGUGUCAAUGGGUGGCAUUAAAGGAGUAUGUGCUGAUAGAGGUGGGGAUGGUAUUUGCAAGGUUGGCACAGUAGGAGAAGCAACACUGGCAGGAUGAGAAGGUACAGAAAUAGUUGUAUUGCACUGGUAAGGUUGUGCAGAAAUUGCUGCAUUAGAAUAAAAAAUUAUAGUCCAGAGUAAUGGGUCGCUCAAUUUAUCGAAGAUAACUGGAUCUUAGAAUAGCCAUCAGAUUUUCCAUCAGAUAACUGGAUCUUAGAAUAGCUGGAAAUGUGUUUGGUUACUGAGAAAGAGAGCAAGAAAAUGAAAGAAAUCUAUUUCACUUUUUAUUUAUCAGAAUGAUUACAUUCACAAUGAAUCUAAGCUGAUAUUUAUACUUGAAUGAAUACACACGAGAUUCUUCUUGCUAGAUACUUCUAGAAACUCUACACGCACACUCGCACUGAGCUAGUGGUUACUAAAACCGUUACAACAAUAUUGCCAGCUCAGCAUAACCAACUUAUAACUAACACACUCAGCUGCAGGGGAAACCAUCAAGCUUACUGCGCAUCCUCUGUAAUCAAGCUUCUUUAAGCAUGCUCUGCAGAUCAUAUUUUUGUGGGUCUUACAUUAUCCAAAAAAAUAACUCGUCCAUCUAGUAACUGCAAGUACAUACUGUGAGAUGCUUAAACUCAACAAUAUAAGCAUGGUAAAUUAGAGAAAAAUGAUGCAAAUUAGAUACACCUGCACAGAAUGCCAGUUAAUUUGGUCAUAAUUAGAUAACAAGAUUGCAAAUUCUGCAGCCAAAGGUAGAACGCAACUAAGGAAAUCAAAUAUGAACAUGUCUUCAAUCUCAAAAUAUUAAGAGUAGCAUAAGUAACUUGUGAAACAGUUAUAAGUUCAAAGGAAUUAGAUGAUGGCAUGGUUGAAUUUAUAAAUAUUUGAUAUUUUGGACCGAACAGGGCAAACAGAUGGAUCCAGAUAAUUAAGAAAAAAUAUCAAUUCCAUGCAACCAAAUUAGUGUGUACAAUGCAAUUGCCUUUCCCUAUGAGAGUAGAGAGCCUAAAUACAAGCAAAAACCUACUAAUGCAUCUGCAGAAGCUCACAUUCACUAGCUGCAUGAUUAAAUCACUGGAUGGUCUCGCUAUGCGGUGAAGAAUGAAAUAAUUAACGACCUGAUAAGGCUGCAACGUGAAGAAACUAUUCACCAGAAAAAGUUCAAAAUCAAAUCAACGUGGUUUUGAUUUUGGAAAAAAUGAAACAAUACGUAGUGAAUGAAUCUGCUCGUAACUAUGCAAGACACAAUCACUUCCCAGGAUCUCAGAUAUAGAUUUACCAAGUUGCACAGAUUGAAGAACGAAUCCAGAAAGAAUCAAUUUAACACAAGAAUUAAGAGAACUGAAAAGAAUAGAAACAAACACAGACAACACAAGAAUCAAUUACGUGGUUCGGUUGCACCAAGGAGGCACAACCUACAUCCACCACGGGAGAUGCUUUGGAGAGCUUUUAUUGAAUAACAAUGGAGGAUCUUUUACAGGGCUUUUACUUAAGAUUACAGAGAACUCAUCUUUCACAUUCUCUGAUAUCUCUCUCUCUCUCUUAACACGGUUACACACACGCUCAGCUCACAAACUGAACUACAAGAGCAAUUAGCUAAAUCUAGAUUGCACAGCUUGUUGACACGUUGAGUAACAGACUUAAUGAACUGAAUCAAGUUGCCUCGCACGGCUAUCACGUGCAUCACUUAAAGCUUUCCCUUAAACGACACAGAAGAACUGCCGUUUCAAACUUAAGAAACAAGUGAUUACACACGUGCUUGAGCCCGUGACUUUUAAGUGCUCUUAUCUUAUAUUGCCAAAACGCUGCCGUUUAGAGCUGAUGAGUUUGAUCCACCAGCAAGCCUCACACAAUAUCACUUGAGCAACACUAUAAAAUUAUUCAAAGAAAUCUCUAGGUCAGUAUCCAAAUAUAUGGCUCCGUCCGUUCCACCAGCACCUAAAAUAUCAGAUCCCCCCAUUUGGAUUCGAUUGAUUAAUUUGAGCAUAUAAAAUCGGGUUUUAAACUUCCCUAAUCAAAAUUUAUAUUCCGCAGAAUCGGUUCCUUUAACAUGAUGCAUUACAUAAUAUUUUGUUUGCAAAAUAAAGAAGAAAGAUGACAUAAUAGAAACACUCGCAGAGAGAGAAUACCUUUGACGAAAAGCUUAGAAGUGAAUCCUCUGUAAAAUACGAGUUGAGCUGCUGAAUUUUUCGAGUUUGAAUGAGAGACUGCGCCAUUUCUGAAAAUGUUUUUUUCUCAUUAGCGCCGCCAUUUUUGUAAUAGAGGGUAAAGAAAUAAGUAACAAAGUAAGAGGUGAGCAGAAGCGGCCCAAUUUAGUUAUAUGCAUGUAUGUGAUCAAAAUUGGAUGGUUAAAUUUUGUUGUUUCCAAUAAUUUUAUGUUGUAUCUUUUUUAAUAAUAAAGAAAACUUGCAUUAAAACUAAAAGUAGGGUAAUACCUGAUUUUAUAAAUAGAUUGCAGUGUAAUUUUGAAAAUAAAACAAUAAUUUACGAAAUGGUUAUAACAUAAUUUUAAUUUUUUUUCAAAAAGGAAAAACAACAAAAGUAAGAUAUAGAGAAUGAGGGCUGCAAACUUUGUAUCUUAAACGGCCGUUAGAUUAUUUGUAAAUGAAAGCAACGGUGAGAUAUUAGUGGCUUAUGGAAACAGGUAAUCAUAAGGACUACAAGUUUUUUUUGGUUACAUUGAUAUAUUACAAUCAUGAUUCUAUUAAUAUUUACAAUCAGAAUUUUAUCUGAUUAUCUUUAAUAAUUCUAAACUAGUACAGCCCAAAUUUCUAUUCUCAUAUAAUAUUAAAGAGAGAUAUAUAUUCUUUUCCUCUAUUAAUGAAGAGAUUUUUUUACUUCUAUCCAAUUUAAUUGGAAUGAGAAUUAAGUACUUUCAAUAGUGAGGACUCAGAACUCAUACAUGCAGAGUGUGGGGAGUGACAAUGGGCCAAGAGACCAUUGACAAGUACAAAAGAGUGGUUGCAAUUAAUUCAAACCGCUACACACGGUAUUGCAACCAAAUUGAGGGCCCAUUUUUGUUUAUUUCAUUGAAAAAUAGUUUGCACAAUUAAUUCAAACCGCUACACACGCUAUUGCAACCAAAUCGAGGGCCCUUUUUUGUUCCUUUGGUUGAAAAUUAGUUUGUACAAUUAAUUCAAACCACUACACACGCUAUUGCAUCUUUUGAAAAAGAAAAAAGUGGAAUAGAUUUCCAAGAUUAAUUCAGAGAAUAAGAUUUAAUAAUAAUGAUGUUAGAAAUCUUGAUAUUUGAAUCUUAAUAUUAUGUAUCACUGAUUUAUUAAAUAAUAGAUUUCAUAGUUUGUAAAAGUAUUUAACCACUUGAUAAAUAUUAUAUUUGUUGAGACUAAAUUAGGAUUUAAAUGUUGGAAUAUCUAACAUUACAUAAAUAAAUAAAAACUUAAUAAUUUAUCUUCACACGACUAAUUAUUUUUGCAUCACAACUAACCUUAAUUAUUUUAAAAAUAAUAAUAUUAUUAAAUUGCCCUGACUAGAUAUCAAAAGAUGAAAGCAUGUUAAAAUAAGAAAUUACUAAGAAACAUGUGCUUAAACAAAUGUUCAGGCUACGAACAAUUAAGAAGAAACAACUUACAAUCAAAGGUUAAGAUUAUGAACAAUUUAAGGAAGGUAUUGAGCAGAUAAAGGGACGGAAUGGUUGUUUGAAUUGCCGAUGACAAAAAUGCUUGUGUUGUGAAAAGAAAUUUGAUGGUUUGUAAAUGGGUUGAAUUUUUCGCUCGCUUCAAUGACUUUCUUAUGCCCAAUAUAUUACUUUGCACAGUAGUAUUUGGGAUAUAUCCUAACAAUCAACUCUUAAUUUGGUCCCAAUAUAUUACUUUAUGAAUGCUUGUGUUGUUUUUUUUUUAUAUAAAAUAAUUUAUUUAACUAAUCAUAGAAAUAAGGGAGAAAAGGGGGCAUUUGUUGACUCAAAGUCAAUUACAAAUAUUCCAUGCCUAACUUCCACGCACCCUAAAGCGGUUUGAUUUGCUUUCACGCCUUCAUGAAUUUCCAUGAAAGAGAGUGCCUCUCGUCUCUUUCCGGACAGUGCCGACAAUUAUGUUAACGUGACAAAUACAUAACGUUAUUACAUACAAUAAUAAGUUUUUGGAGCCGAGACUUGAGAGGGAGGUUCUAUCUAAUUCUAAAGAUUGUAACCAAAUCAUUAUCCCCAAUUUUUUUCAGUUAAAUAAAAUAAAAUUUAUGCUUAAGUAUAAAUAAAAUCCACAGUGGAUAAAGAUUUGAUUAUCGAUUUUUUUUAAUGUAAAAUUGCUGGUUUGUUGCUUAAAAUUUUCAAUAAUAAUUUCACUUAUUUAGUAAUUAGAGAGAGAGAGAGGAUUGAGGGCCAAUGUUUCGCGAUUUGGGGUCAAUUCACAGUCAACUAACGUGUAAAACAUGAUUUCCUUUCAUGAACUUCGAAGAAAGAAAGAAGACUCUUCGCCUUCUUCGUGACAACGAAUGAUGUUGAUAUGACAAAUACAAUCGCUAUUACAGGGAACAACAUAGGACCGAGACUUGAUAAAGGGUUUGUUAAAUUACAUGUUAUUUUCUUGCUGACUGAAUUGGAAGAAAAAAAUAAAAAUAAAAUAAAAUUGUAAUCAGGGUGAUGUGUGGAAUAUAUUGAAAUAAAUAAAUAGAGAAGAGAAAUUUGUUGAUCAAUAUUCAAGAACUCAUCCAAAGUGACUGUUAAAUUCUAGAGGUUCCGUAUGAUUAGCAUUUAUUUUUAAUUUUUUGGCUUAACAUCAUAUGUAGUCACUGGUCAUGUGAUCUAGGAUAGGUUUAGAAAUCUUUUUUUUUUUAACUUCCGUAUUCUUAUUAUUUAAUUAGUUAUAGGGUUUUUUAGUAUUUGAGUAGUGAUCACAGAUCUCCUAAUAUAAAAAUAUGUUUCUACGAGUACAAAUAAAAACUAGGAUUUUAACAACCUUUUAUACUAAACCCUAAAAAUAUAUGAAUUUAUCAAAAUAAAUAAAUUUGAAUUGGUAUGCCAUAAUAAAAAUUUUACUUGCCAAAACAAAUUAAAAAAAAUAUGACGCUUAAAUCAAAUAUCGACAAAAAUAGAUAAAAAUCCAACAAGAAUCUCAAAAAUAAGAAAGAUAUCUUCAGACAAAAAUAGAAGCGUCCAAGAGAAAUUUGACAAAGACAAAUACCAAUUACUCAAGUUAUGGCCCUAUGAAGACAUCCUAUUCAUUCUACCUAGACCAGGACGUGUCGCACAUGUUUGCAUUCAAAUUUAGGUGAAAGCAAAUCGAGAGUUUGAUUAAAUUCAACCAAUUAUUAGUGUGUAAGGAUGGUAGGGAUGGAAAAAAACUCCGACCGUUCUUAGGUAUGGUAUUACCCAGAUCUGGCCUAAGCAUGUUUUUUUGAACACUCGGACUUUUUUAAUCAAAACUUAAAAAACCUAGAAUUUAUAUUUUAUAAUAUUAUAUAUAUUUAAUUUAUUUUAUAAUUUUAUAUUUUCAAAUUUUAUUUUAAUGAAAUUGGAAUUAAAAAUAUGAGUUUUAAAUGUUUAAAAAUUUAAAAAUAGAUAAUAAGUGGACCAAAUGAACAAAAUAAUAGAUAUUUUAUAAUAUUCUUCAUAAAAAUCCAAGUUUUGAGCUAGCCCAUAAGCUUGUCUAGUGAAGUCUGGGUACCCGCGUUGCCCAAGGUUCCGCCAGAAUCCAGGCUGUGCAGAUAUUUAUGGACGGAGAGGAAAUAUUUUCAGUUGACUGAAUUAAAUAAAAAUAUAUUACAAUCAUAUUAUAUAUUAACAGAAAAAAUAAAAAGAAAUGAAGAAAAACGCAUGCAAGACUUAGACAAAGUCAAUUAAAAGCUGGGAGUAUCAUCAGUUCAAUUGGUUUUAAAUAGCGUAGAACCAUCCUCUCGUUGUUGCAGAAGAGAGACAGAAAGAGUGUGUGUAGGUGAUUAUAAUUAAGAAGAUAUAAUGUGUGGUUCAAAAAGAGUGUGGGUGAGUGAGUUAAUUUUCAUAUUAUUAGUAGUAAAAGGGUGGUGGAGUGAGGGAUGUUUGGAGCAAGAGAGGUAUGCUCUCCUCCAACUCAGACAUUUCUUCAAUGAUGAUCAAUGUCUUCAAAACUGCUGGGUAGACGAUGAGAAUUAUUCAGAUUGUUGUCAGUGGGAACGGGUUGAGUGCAACGACACUACUGGCAGAGUGAUUAAAUUAGAUCUACGAGAUACUAGGAAUUGGGAAUCAGCAGAGUGGUAUAUGAAUGCCUCUCUGUUUACUCCCUUUCAACAAUUAGAGUCUCUUUAUCUAAUUGGGAACAAUAUAGCUGGUUGUGUUGAAAAUGAAGGUCCUUAAUUUACUUUAUUUUAAUUCUUCCUCCUCGUAAUUUCUUACAUCUAUCUGAUCCCUUUUGGCUUUUAUUUAAUUUUUACGUGAUACAAUAAAAUUAUUUUUUAUUUUUUGUCAGGUCUAGAUACGUUAUCAAGGUUGAACAACUUGAAGUUUCUUUAUUUAGACUAUAACCACUUCAACAACAGCAUCUUUUCAUCUCUAGGUGGUCUUUCAUCACUCAGAAACUUAUCAUUGAUUGGUAAUAGAUUGAUUGGAAGUAUUGAUAUUAAAGGUAAGUACGCUUCAACCCUUUUCCCCUGUCCCAUCUUUUGUGGAUCUUAUUUCACUGAGCAGCUGGAAGUAUUGAUACGAGAUCUAGCUAGAUUCUUGCGAGUUUAGGCUUCAAGGCUUUGAAUAUUAUAAAAAUAGGAUUAAGAAAUUAUCAAUAUAUGCAAUUUUCAAUGCUUCUCAUAGUCAGACACAAUUCAAUCUAAUUAUUUCUUAUGUCCUGUCUUCAAAAGUAAAGAAUUGUACACUAAAUGGAAAUCGACAUCAUAGCAUUUUAUUUUCUGUAAUGAUAUUUCUUCGUUAACAAAUUUAUAUCCUAAGAGGGAUUGGAUUUAAAAAAAAAAAGAUUUGAUGUUCAAGGUAAGCCAUAAUAACCUGCAUCUUAUUUGUCUGCCGAUAUCCAAAUUUGUGCACUGAAUUUAGUAUUUUGGUUAUUGUGAAGGGAUCAGAUAUUGUCUUCCAUAGACCAACUUGUAUUUACUUAAUUAAUUAAUUAACGCCAUUUAGUAUUUAACAAAUUAAAAUUUCGUAUUUAAUCUAUUUUAAAUUUUUUAAGAAAAAAGAAAAAGAUAUAGCCGUAGGUAAAGCUAAAAUAAAUUUAAAUUCCUUACAAAUUUAAAUUCAUGGUUGUCAGCUAAAUAUACCUGCUUAAAGCCACUCAGUCGAGCCCUUUAAGAGCUGCUUUAAGUUUUUCGGAUUAGCCAUAUUCUUUUCACAUAAAUAAAUUUCUUUGCGCCGAGAUUUAAAAUAACGAAGGAGAAAAUAAGUUAUUUAAUUAACCCUGUUUUAAGUGUUGGCAUAAAUGCAGGACUGGAUUCCUUGGGUAACUUGGAGGAGCUGGACAUGAGCGACAAUGCAAUCAACAAUCUAGUGAUUCCUAAAGGUAUACAAAAUGUUCAAAUAUUAAUAAUUUGGAAGACAAUUUAAUUGAUUUGAUUAGGGAUUUCCCAAUGACACUUACCCAAAAUAAUUUAAUCCGAAAUUGUAAUCCAAAUAGAUUACAGAGGUUUGAGGAAGUUGAAUACCCUUUACUUAGGGGGAACGGAAAUUGCAAUGAUAGAUGGAAGCAAGGUGUUACAAUCAAUAGGAUCACUACCGUCCCUCAAAACACUUUACCUUUCGUCUACUAAUUUUAAGGGAACAGUAGUUAAUCAAGGUAAGUAAGUCUUUUAUGUCGAAAAUAAUUGAAUUAAUAUAUAUAGCUAAAAUUUACUGUUUCUUCUUCUUUGUAAAUAGAAUUGCACAAUUUCACCAACUUGGAAGAAUUGAUAUUGGACGAUUCUGAUCUCCACAUAAGCCAGCUUCUGCAAAGCAUCGCAUCAUUCACUUCGUUAAAGUAUUUGUCAAUGGGAUUUUGUACACUCACGGGUGCGCUACAUGGUCAAGGUAAAUUACGGGUAUCUGAAGCUUUUAUGAUAUUAAUUCGAUAAUAAUUAUUUCUUUUCAAGUUAAUUUUCUCCCAUAAAAUAAUAUAUAUUUUUUUAAAUUUUAUAUAUUUUCACUGUCCAAUAGUUCUAGCUUCUCUAAUUUGCAGGAUUCUUGAUUAAGGUUAAUGAAAUUUUAGUUCUGUUAUGUUAAGAAUAUUUCGAUCGCUUAGAAGAGUAAAGAAAAAUAAGUAAAUUAACCAAAAAAAAAAGAAAAGAAAAGGACCGGAUUAUCCUUAUUCCCUUGCAUUAUGUGAUCAAUAUCAAAAUUAUAAUCAUUUCUUGUUUAUUGCUUGUAGAUUUUCGUAAAUUCAAGAAUUUGAAAAAUCUGGACAUGAAUCUGGUGUAUGUUGACGUCAACACCAGUUUUCUUCAAAUUGUCGGUGAAUCGAUGCCUUCUCUCAAGUUUUUAUCACUGACAGAUUCAAUUCUUAAUAAAAACACCAUUCUUGAUCAAGGUUAAUUAAUGAUUCUCCUUCUCCCUCUCUCGCAUCAUAACUAAAUUUAAUUGAGAAUAUCUAUAAUGCGAGCUAUUUAUAAACUUAAUGAAAGAUGAUAAGGAGCUACUAUAAUGACAAAAACAACUGUAAAAUAGUGCGCUGUUGUAGUGUUAAUUGAAAAAUAAUGCUAAUUUUAUAGUCAUUUUGUUGCCAUUACGUCAGAUUCCAUUGUUCAAUUAUUUAAGUUUUAUGCAAAUAUAUUUUUCAGGACUUUGUCGGUUAGUGCAUCUACAAGAGUUAUACAUCGGCGGUAAUGAUUUGAGAGGUAGCUUGCCAUGGUGCUUGGCAAACAUGACAUCCCUCCAAGUGUUAGAUGCCUCUUUUAAUCAACUUACUGGAAACAUCUCCCCAGGCCUUUGUGAGUUGGUGCUUCUGAGAGAGUUAUACAUUGAUUACAAUGAUUUAAGAGGUAGCUUGCCUUUGUGCUUGGCAAAUUUGACUUCCCUUCGAGUAUUAGAUGUCUCUUACAAUCAACUUACUGAAAACAUCUCAUCUUCCCUCAUGCAUCUAAUAUCUAUGGAAAAGCUCAUACUUUCAAAUAAUCACUUCUUCCAAAUCCCUAUUUCACUUGAACCACUUUUCAAUCUCACAAAACUCAAGACUUUCGAUGGUGAAAUAUACGCAGAAACUGAGUCACAUUAUAAUUCUUUGACCCCAAAAUUCCAAUUGACUUCUAUCUCAUUGUCUGGCUACGGAGAUGGUGGCACAUUUCCCAAAUUCUUGUACCAUCAGCAUGACUUGAAGAAUGCUGAUCUCUCACACCUUAACUUGAGUGGAAAUUUUCCAAAUUGGUUGGUAGAAAACAAUACGAACUUAGAGACGCUUCUUCUUGCCAAUAACUCUCUUUUUGGAUCAUUUCGGAUGCCAAUUCAUUCCCACCAGAAAUUAGCAACAUUGGAUGUCUCCAACAAUUUCUUUCAAGGCCAUAUCCCAGUAGAAAUCGGAAUAUAUCUGCCAGGCUUAAUGCAUUUAAACUUAUCUAGAAAUGCUUUCAACGGUAGCAUUCCCUCUUCAUUUGCUGAUACGAAAAUGUUGAAAAGCUUGGACAUAUCCUACAAUCAGUUGACUGGUGAAAUCCCUGAGCGCAUGGCCAUGGGUUGCUUCUCAUUGGAAAUUCUUGCAUUGUCAAACAACAGUUUGCAAGGUCAUAUAUUCUCUAAAAAAUUUAACUUGACAAAUUUGAUGAUGUUGCAGUUGGAUGGUAAUAAAUUCAUUGGAGAGAUCCCAGAAAGCUUAUCUAAGUGCUAUUUGUUGGGAGGAUUGUAUCUGAGUGAUAAUCAUCUCUCUGGUGAGAUUCCAAGAUGGUUGGGUAAUUUGUCAGGUUUAGAAGAUAUUAUAAUGCCCAAUAACAAUCUUGAAGGACCAAUUCCAAUCGAGUUUUGUCAGCUUGAUUAUCUGAAGAUUUUAGACCUUUCAAACAAUAGUAUUUUUGGAACUUUACCAUCUUGUUUUAGUCCAGCAUCUAUCGAACAAGUUCAUUUGUCGAAAAACAAGAUAGAAAGACGGCUGGAGAGUAUAAUCCAUGACAGCCCUCAUUUGGUGACAUUCGAUCUUAGUUAUAACAGCUUACACGGAAGUAUUCCAAAUUGGAUUGACAGACUACCUCAGUUAAACUACCUUCUUUUAGCUCAUAAUUAUAUUAAAGGCGAAAUACCAGUUCAAUUAUGCCAGUUGAAGGAAGUGCGGUUGAUUGAUCUUUCUCAUAAUAAUCUAUCUGGUCAUAUUCCUCCUUGCUUGGUUAACACUUCACUCAGUGAAGGUCAUCAUGAGGCAGUAGCUCCAACUUCUAGUUCGUGUGGUCGAGCGUCUGGCUAUGCAAGUCCAUGUGCGAAAAAUACAAGUGGACUUCCGAUGGGAAAGGAAGAAACUGUACAGUUCACAACAAAGAAUAUGUCCUACUAUUAUCAAGGAAGAAUUUUGACGAGUAUGUCUGGGAUUGAUCUUUCUUGUAACAAACUGACAGGUGAGAUUCCUACUCAAAUUGGAUAUCUUACAAGGAUUCGUGCGCUAAAUCUAUCUCAUAACAAUUUGACGGGCACAAUCCCGACAACAUUUUCAAACCUGAAGCAAAUCGAAAGCUUGGACCUCUCCUACAACCUACUGCAUGGGAAAAUCCCUUCUCAGCUCACUGUGCUAAAUACAUUGGCGGUCUUCACAGUAGCAUACAAUAACUUAUCAGGAAAAAUUCCAGAUAGAGUUGCACAAUUUUCAACUUUUGAGGAAGAUAGCUAUGAGGGGAAUCCUUUUCUUUGUGGAUGGCCACUGUCUAAAAGUUGCAAUGAUAGUGGAUUAUCAGCAGUGACACGAGAAGCUUACACUGAUAAUGAAGAAGGUGAUAGUUUAAUUGACAUGGACAGUUUCCUAAUCACUUUUACAGUAUCUUAUGGAAUUGUGAUAUUAGGAAUUAUUGGAGUUUUGUACAUAAACCCCUAUUGGCGACGAAGAUGGUUUUACCUUGUUGAAGUAUGUAUGAUCUCUUGCUACUAUUUUGUAGUAGAUAAUCUUAUUCCUAGAAGAUUCUAUGGUGGAUGGAUGUAAUUUCAUUUACUUUACAACUUAUAUGUAAUUUUUAAAGAAUUUUCUUUUGCAUGCAUGGAAUAGCAACUCAAUAAAAGUAUUUGAUGCAAAUUGUCCUAGAACAACUUAGUAAUUUCAUUGCUACUAUUUGGCUGUAUAUAUACAGUUAAUGAAAUUUUUAAUCAUUCGCAGUAGGAAUUUCUUUAGAUGGCGGCCAAAACUAACAGAUUUGGGGCUCUACUUCUACACAUCAUAACAGGCAAAAGGUCUCUCUUUUACACGAUCUGAAUGAAGAUUAACUUACGCCCUCUAGGCUCUGGAGUGUGUGUAAGUUCUCUAUUAAACUUGACGGUUGAGAUUUCAGGUCCAGAUGAAAGUGAAAUGCAGGCGACGAGACUACACUUUAAGUAAACUGGGACAAACUUAAAAUAAAAAAAAUUGUAGUCCAGGGUGAGAGUGAUGGGUAGCUCAACUUAUGGAGGAUAACUAGGACUUGGAAUAACUAUCAGAUUUGCAACUCUUGUUAUAUGCUAGUGGGGAUUUAGGUAGCAAUUUUUUUUUUUUUCCUUUUUGCCCUCUUCCUCACAAUAAACACACCUAACACACCAAGCCGUGCCCAAAAUAAUCCUAUUUUAUUCAUGUCAUGAAUCCAAAAACUAUCCCAGCUCACUUUGUUUAACCAGCAUAACUAAAUUGUGGGUAUAAAUGAACACACUUUCGAAGCCUGUAACUUAUAAUAAGCUCAAACCCAAAAAUGACAUUUAAAUCCUGCAAGUGUUUUUCAUCAUCCCUAACAAAAAGAAACAAGAAUAAUUAUAUACCAAUAAUUUUUCCAUAAAAAAUACUGAUUUGAGUUGAAACACUAUACAAACUGGGUUUUAUUACACUUGCAGAAAGCUACACGGUAGACAAAAUCUAGCAGCUACAUAUUGGUAUCACUUUCAGCUGGUCAUGAAUGGUGUGCAUUCAGCAGUGCUCGAUAGACCAUGUCUAUGAAUUGAUUGUCCUAUUACAUAUAAAAGCUGGUCAGAUAUACAAGGAAAAAAAUAAUAAUUGAAAAUGCAUCACAAAAAAUAAGUGUUUCGCAUUAGUGUUUGCACUCUAAGCAUGGCAAAGUGGUGCGGGGUUCAUGAUUUUGAAGACUGUGAUAAGUGAAAAAUAGUUCAAUCCACUGAUGAACAUAAAUUUAUUUACAUGUCAAUUUAGAUAUCAUCAAAAAGUAAACAGUAAUUCAGAGUCACUUAAAAUAGUUGAUAAAAUGCGUGCCAUGAAUGUAUUUUUGUACAUAAGAAAUCCAAAGAGUAUUUCUGACAAUACAAAUAUGCUAGCUUUAAGUCUGCUGUCAAUAUGCAAUUAAGAAGAUUAUACCAGCUGCAUGAUAAAGUUCCCCUAAUCUUAAUAACAGUAAACAUGAACAUGUCAGAUGCAAUUAUAGCUUUGAGCAUUUGCAUAACCAGAAAUCCUAACCUGAACAAGCACCAGAAGUGUCUCUCGGACUUUCUCCUUGCUGAUAAAUGGUCCGCUGUCUGAAGUAAGAGCAGGAGUAAGAGAUGGUGGAGGGGUUGGUGGUGGAAAAGGUUGAAGCACUGGGGCACCAUAUGGGCGUUGCAGACUCGGGGGAGGAUUAAGUGGCGGAGCUGUUGGUGUAGAUGAAGAGACAAGCUGCAUCAUCCGUGCAUAGGAGGAUGGAGGAGGAACAAAGAAUAAGGAAGGCUUUACAAGAUUAGGGGUAGGUGCUGAUAGAGGUGGAGAUGGUAUUUGCAAAGUUGGCACGAUAGGAGAAGCAACACUGGCGGGAUGAGAAGGUAAAGAAAUAGUUGUAUUGGACUGGUAAGGUUGUGCAGAGAUUGCUGCAUUAGAAGUAUUCCCCACAGUCAAAGCUGUCUGCAAUGAUAAGGACAGAUGUCAUAUAAAAGGACAUCAUAGAAGUUGAACCUCACACAAAAAUGAAGUGAUAACAUAUGAAAAUAGUAUAUGACUUGCUGCAUUUUUGUGGUAAUGUUGCAUACUUAUGUAGAAACAUAUUAUUUCAAAGAAAACAUACACUGAAGAAGUUCACAAAAGCAGGAUCUUCAGGAACAUCAACAGCAUUUGAGGGAGUUGACUCUAGAGGACCAUCCAUAACUGCCAUAGUUGGAACAGCUUCCAGUUCCUCAAACUCACUGCAGUUUAACAUAAAAGGAACUUGAUGACCAAUUUAAGUAAUAAUUAGAUGAUAUAAGAGGUUAGGGAAAAUGAUGAGUGGACCCUUAUGGAAGAUGAUUUCACCUUAGCUAAACACGAAAAUAAAAUGAAAUCAAAGCUGAAUCCUCGAGUGCAAUGCAAAUAAUUUUUUCUCUCUCUUCUCUAACUCCUCUUAUUCGAAAUUGCUCAUCAUUGUGCAGUUCCUCGAGAUUUUGCUAGAAUAGAGAAAGCUAUUCUCCCGUUAAGUGCAGAGGAAAAAGAAGGGCAAGGGCCUGGUAUGAUGCUAUUCUAUAGGAAGUGAGAAGGUGAAGGGCUAAAAUAUUUUGCAAUUUGGAGGUGGUGUUUGUUAGUGUGUGUACUUCUGAAUUUAUUACCUCUUUAGGAUCCAUAGAAAUUGCCUCUUGUUCAGCAUGCACUGUGCCUACGAGUAAGGCGAGCUUGCAUGGUAUCUAUUGUCUAUUUACUUGGAUAUUCAAACAGGACUACCAGCAACCAAACACAAAUCCCCAAACAAAACACUCUUUCAAGUGCAAGGAAAGAGUAACUUGGGCAUAUUUAUGGUUCAAGCACUACCAUAACUAAGAAUGUGAUGCUGUCCACAAACACUAUAUCAGUGCCUUUUGAACUACAUCACAUGCUCGAAGACUUUUUUUUUAGUCAUACAUAAAUUAGCUAUAAAAUUAAGACCAUUAUACAACUAAAAAGAAAGAAAAAUUGUUUGCCACUACAUAUCAAAACUGGUAAUAGCAAUGUAAGAUGGCAGACUUCUUACUUAAACAGAUGAGAGGCUACAAAUAAAAAAUUUGUGCAAAUAAAAUAUAUGAUAAAGAGCAUAAUACCUUCUUGGGGGCUAAAAAUAAUAUACAACUUGUGAAAUAUAAAUUGAGCUACCAUUACCUUUUAGAUGUGGCAACUUUCGACUUUUGAGGCACCUUGGAAUAUGCAUUCAGAAUCCUGCAUUUGGAAACCAAAUAAACAACGUUAAUAACAAUUUUACAAUAGAAAAAUUAAAAAUUGAUAAAUGGCAGUUGUAAUUUAUGUAUGCGUAAAGAUAGCUUCACAUCCAGGGUCCUCCCAUAAACAUGCUUGUAACAAGAAUUAGUUUGCCUCAACUGCUAGCAACUAUACAAUAGUAAAAAUCACUCUUAUGAACUCAACAAUACUAGGCACCAAUAAGAGUAUGAUACAGCCAUUCUAAAUGGAAGAGAAUACAACUGUUUUACAACUAUGUUGCAUCAGGAGAUAUGUUAGGAGGAUUAAUCCAGAUACCUUCCAACCCAAUUAGGAAAACUCAAGGUCAGAAACCAGGAGCUGCAACCAAACCUUACAAUCUUGAAGGAAGAAGGAGACUUGGGGCAUUUUUCCAGAUAGGUGACUUACAAGAUCUCCUGCCAAGAAAAUAUCUACUGCUUCGAACCUCCAUUGAAAUUUCUUUUCCGUUUUUCUUGUUUUGACUUGGAACUUUCCAGCAUCAUCUAUUUGAUCUUUUUUAAAGCUAAAAUAGCAAUCUAUGGGUUGUCAACAUCUUACCCCCCCCCCCCCCCCCGGGGGGCCCCCAAAAAAAAAACCAAUGAGUUGUCAAUAAAUAGCGCCUACUCAACUUAUGUUCUCCAAUGGAUGACAAUGUGCAAAUCGACCUAGCAGCCACAUUUUUCCCCCCUUUAAACCACCAUUAGGCAACUUUUCUAACCUUUCUUUAUUGCCCACGUCUACAGAACUAUCAUAUAAAGACUACAUUAUUAUUGGGAUAGAGAAAAAAAUACAGACUAUAUUAUUAUUAUAUCUCAUUUUAUUAAUUAACUAGUGCAAGACUUAUUUAGUGUCAAAUCAAGAACUAAUUAGAAAAGACAACUCAUGAUAAUACAGACCUUAAAAAGCAAUAGCUAGGACCACCCCAUGUACUCCUAUUUUAGCCUUCAAUAUCCUGGUAAAAACACAAUUAAGUCUUGCAAAAGAACAUUCACAAGUAAAUUCAACAUUAAUUAAGAUUAAGUAUCUACUGCACCUUCAAUCAAUGACUGGGUGAAUAGCAUGGUCAACCAUCCAGUUCCUGUAGCCCUCCUUGUACCUAUGUUAGUUACAUUUUACAUAUUAAGACACGAAAAUGAAGGAUCACAGCCUGGUAAAGAAAGCCAUUAAUUAAUAGUUUUUGUUUAAAAAGUUCUCGUUUAGAUCUUUCCUAUUCAAUGAAUCAAUGUAAUCCAAGGAGAACUCUUCCAUUUCAAGCAGUGUUAGAAGAUAAUUGGAAAGCCUAAAGAUAAUAUACAAGGACCAAGAUAUCAAUUAGGUCAAAUAGUGAAUGUCAAAUAUAAAAAAUAAAUAAAAGAAGUUGUACAUGAUCAUUUACUAUCAAGUUCUGUAAAACUGAAAAUACCAUUAUCCCUGUAGAGAUUCUCAAACAACUCUUUAGCAAAUUAUAAAAUAAUUAAAAAAAGAACGAAAGUUUAAAAAAAAAAAAUGUACAACAGCCAUAUCAGGAGAUGUUUUUCUUCUCAAUCUCAAUAUUUUCUAGCCGUAAAACAAUUGAAAAGCUUAACACCAAGUGAAUUAUUAAGAAUUCAUCAUUUAAAUUCCCAAAUCGCGAAAUGUUGGUGCAACUAGGAAAGUGCAAAUGCAAUCACUUUACUAACACAAGAAACAUCAAUAGUGAGAAGCCAACUUUGUAUCAAAUUUGAAACAGAUAGAUAGAGGUCAAAAAAAUUAUAAAGACACUCAAUUAAAAGCCUUUCAAACAGCUUUUGCAUGCAACAAGAACAAAUCAAAGGCGAUGUGAAUGUAUUGAAAGACUAAUUUACAAUCAUCUACAGGACAUAAAUAUCUUGGAUAACUACUCUCUAUACCCUACUGUCCCACUGAAAAUCAUCAAAUCCCUCCAAACAAAAAUGACAAAAUGGAUAAGAAUUGUGUGGUCAAACUUCAAUAACUUAGCAGCCAGAGCAAAAACUUAUGUAGACACGCAAGCCACUCAAAAUAGUCAUAUUGUUUGCUUUCCAAACACAAGCCACUUUGUAAUGAAUAUUCAUAAAUUGCUACUACCAUGUUUGUUAAAACACGUGAAAACUACCAUCACUAACUAAAUGUAACUAAUGAUCAUCAUCACGUUCAUGGAAUCACAUGUCUGACAGUAUUAAUUAGUGCAAAUGGCAUGCUUCUUAAAACUCCUUAUUUAUCACAUGGGCGCCAUUCCAAUCAACCAAUGAUUCUGAUCUAGUCAGCAUAUUCAACCUACGAGCCAGUAAUACCUCCAUUGCUUCUUUAGAUUUCUCAACAAAAUUCCACAUUCUAACCAUACUUCUGAACUUGUUGCUCCCAUAGACUAAUACAAUAUAAAGAUUUCUUCCCACACCACCUCAGCCCCCACUCCUAAAAAACCAAUUUAAAUUCUCAUUGACUGUACAACCUAUAGUCCAUACCAAAUUGAAAAACUUACAAAUAUAGAACCUCAAAGAAUCUUCUUGCGUUCCAUUUUUUACAGCAAGAAAAUUGACUUUUACCACAUGCAAGUCAACAAAUAAAACAAUCAUGUCUUUGUGAGAUGCACAUUUUCAGACGAAUCUGAAGAACAAUGAAACCAUAAAAACCUAAUAUGAGAACACUGAGGACUCCAGAUAUCAUCUAUAGAAUCUUUGGUCCACCCUUGCAUAAUGAAAAAAAAUUGAAGGCUUCGUCACCAACUCCCCAGGUUGUUUUGUUCUCCUAUCUCCUAAAUCUAAAGGAAAGGCAACCCGUUCAUUUUCCAAUCUUAAGGGGCACAGAACGACUCUGGUAUAAAAUAGUCAGUUUCUAUACAAAAAUAACUCCUUUGCACUUGGCAUUCCACAUCUCGAAAUAAAAAGCAUGCAAGGAGGAGAAUAUAAUAGCAUUAAACAAGUUUUAUUAACCAAACUUCAAAGAUGCCAGACAAGGCAAAAAAGGAAUCUGUACAAGCCAGAUCCCAAGAAUAAUAAUUCCAAUAUACAAUUCACGAAAACAAUAACUAAAACCAUGUUCAUCAGGCCUCAGCAGAAGCAACAUGUAAUAGCCAUACUCUAUUAUUUGAAACACAUUUCCAAGUUUGGAAAAGAUUCUAAACUAUUCUCGAUCUGUCAAUUAUUAACAUGUAAAACAUAAUAAUAUACGCUUAAACUACUACAGUAGUAAAACCAGUAAAACAACAAUACCUGCUAAAAAGAUUUGCUACCUCUUCACAUUCGCGAGCAUUGUAGAACCAAAUCCCAUUUACUUCUUGGGAUGCAUUUCGAUAUAACAAAUACGGAACCUGAACUUCAAACUCAAAAUCUCCCAAAAGAUUUUUCACUAAAUUAUCUGCACAUAUCCAAGAUAUUGAAGCUUCUCAGUGCAAAAACAUAUGCAAAAAGACAUGAAGGUUAGGAGACAUAACUAAAACUUAGCAACAACUGAUAAGCACAACAAGAAAUGAAAUAUAACACGAGUUGUAAACAAGAUAGACGCACGGUAUCUAAAUAAUUGUACCAACCCCCUCUCCUGAUUGUCAUAAAACGGCCAAUAUUUAACGCUAGACAACAACAUGGCAAAUACUCUAGCCUCUAUAUUAUUGGCAUAUAAAUAUUUUCGGUUGGGUACAUUAUAUUCUUCGUUCUAAAACCUCAAUCAUUAGCUAGUACUGUGAUAAAAUGAUUCAUCACUGAAAUUAAAACUAGUUCACGUACAAAUAAUCAAAACUGAAAUAGAAACAAGGACAAACCAACCCGUAUUACGUCGAUUCAUUACAACAAACUGAAAUCGAGGCUGUGUGUUCCUGAAAAUUGAAAAAAUAAUAAUUUCACCAACUUCAUAUGUAAUACAAUCUCCAAAACAACGAAUAUCAAAUGAAAAAAUGGAAAGCAUAAGAGAGAAAAGAAUCUAAUUUUAUUGACCUUUUGACGACGAAGAGAGAUCCUUCAACAUCCUUAUGACUCCAUUGGCUGAGGUCGAUGUUGAACUCGUAGAAGGUGACAUGAGCGGCCGUGAUGAGGAUCUCCUCAAUGAAUGGAUCGAUUCGCUGAAGAACUGUCAGGUUUAGGAGUUUUGUGCUCUGCUGGUCCAGAUUAGCCAUUAAUUUUCCGUUCUGCGACAUUUUUCAUAGUCCUUUUGGGCUCUGCCCCGAGCACAAGCGCCAUGGUUUUUCUGUGAGCUCUCUCUUUUGUAAAUAAAGUGUUUGAUGAGAUAGCCGAGAGAGAGUGAAAGAGUUGAGACUCGAGAUUGAUCUUGCUUUAACUUCUUUCAAACAUUUGGGAAAUAGCAUUUAGACCCCAAAAUUAGAUUUAUUAUAAUCAUUUUUUACCCGUACACUAUUAAUCCCUUUUAUUUUUUAAAUUGUCAAUAUUAAUGUAUUAGAAUAAUGUUAGAAAUCCCAAUUAUUAUCUCAAUGUUUCAAUCAUAACUAAUGUGAUAACUCAUCGGUGACUGUAACAUUAACCUAAUUAUUAAUGUUUAUCAUGAAAUGAUGAGAUUAUUAUUCAAGAAAAACUUAGUAAACAUCAAUGACUAAUAUAAUAUGACAAUUACAGCUGAAUAUUAGUACAAUAAUUAGGAUCCCUAAAGUUAGUGAAUGUAUUAUAAUAUAUGUGUGUUACACUAUUUUAUGUCUCUCAAAUUCAAUUAAGUAAUUUCAGAGACCUAACCUUUUAUUACAUUAAAUUAAGAAUGUAUACAUGAACAAAAGAUGUGCAGUUUUUGUUUUAUUUUUCACUAUUAUUUGCCAUUCAUCUACGUACGUCACUUGAUUUUUUGCGAUUAAUAUGCUUAAAUGGAUCUCUUUGAUAUAAAUAAAAUAAACGAAAAGUCUAAGAGAAAAAAAAAAUGAGGACCGAAAUUAUUACACCUACAACAAAUUUGCCCAGAGAGCAAUAAAUCAAACUUGCUUAGGAAGUUCAACAAUGAUUAGUUAAUAACUAAAAGAGCCUUCACCUAACAUGUUAAAGCUUCCGUCAAGCACAAACCCAUUGAAAGCUGUUUAGGUCCGUUUUCGAUCAUCGGAAAUUUGACAAAAUCAUAAAAACCCUCAUCUUAGAAAUUCCAAGCAUCAGGCAAUAGUCCGACUUUAUUGAUAUUGAGAGUAACACAAUAAAAGUUUCGUACAGAUUUUGCAAACGAAAAGCACAUAAUACACUUAACUAGGUGGAAAAAUUAAAGUGUAUGUAUUACAAACUGCUAACAAUAUACAAUAGUAAAAAUCACUCUUAUGAACUCACAAAUACUAGGCACCAAUAAGAGUAUGAUACAGCCAUUCUAAAUGAAAGAGAAUACAACUGUUUUACAACUAUGUCACAUCAAGAGAUAUGUUAGCAGGAUUAAUCCAGAUACCUAGGGAUGGCAACUGGAUCGCUCUAUAAUGGAUAUCCACAAUAUCCAUCCAAUUGGAUCGGAUAAUAUCCAUCCAAAAAUUUUUAGAUUUUGAAAUGGAUAUUUUAAAAUUAUAUCCAAAUGGAUAUGGAUGGAUAUAGAUAAUUAUUUUUACCCAAUGGAUAUCUAUUUAACCCAACACAAGUUUAAAAAAUUUUAAUUUUAUAAAAUAAAAAAUAAAAAAUAUAAUAAACAAACAAUUGUAAAAAUAUUAUAUUAACUAGUGAAAAUUUUAAAUUCAUCUUAUAUUAAAAACUAAAGUUUUCAAAAUUAUCCUUUAAUUUUUUAACUUAUUUAAUAUUAUUAAAAAUUAUUAUUUUAUUUUAUUAAUUUAAUAUUAUAAAUGGACAUCCACCGGAAAGUCACCGGACCUCCUCCGGAAUUCACCGGAAAGUUGCCGGACCACCGUCGACUUCGCCGGAAUUCGCUGGAAAGUUGCCGGACCACCGCCACCAACCACCAGACCGCCAUUUUAUAUAUAUAUAUAUAUAUAUAUAUAUAUAUAUAUAUAUAUAUAUAUAUAUAUAUUAUUACUAAUAUAAAUAGUUUAAUAACCAAAUUUAAUAUUGGAAUUUUAAUUAUUUUAUAUUAUUAUUUUUAUAUAAUAAAAAUAAAAUAUCCAUAGAUAUUCAUGGGUCUCCAUAGUUAUAUGGAUAAAAUCUAUAUCCAUGUCCAAUAUUAAAUACUGGAUAUGGAUAUAGAUAUAUCCAUUAUCGAUAAUUAUGGAUUUGUGUUUGGAUGGAUAAUAUCCAUCCAUAAUUGAAUAUUUGCCAUCCCUACAUAUACCUUUGAACCCAAUUAACCAACUCGAGUCAGAAACCAGGGGCCCCCAACUGAACCUUACAAUCUUGAAGGAAGAAGGAGACUUGUGGUCCAGAUAGGAGACUUACUAGAUCUCCUGCAAAAGAGAAUAUCUAUUGCUUUGAACCUCCAUUGAAAUUUCUUUUUCUCUUUUUCUUGUUUUAACUUGGAACUUUCCAGCAUCAUCUAUUUGAUCUUUUUUGAAGGUAAAAUAGCAAUCUAUAGGUUGCCAACAUGUUAUUCUGCCAAACCCCACCCCCCGGGGGACAACAAAUAGUGCCUACUCAACUUAUGUUUUCCAAUGGACGACAAUAUGCAAAUCGACCCAGUAGCCACAUUUUUCCUCCCUUUCAACCACCGUUAGGCAACUUUUCUAACCUUCCUUCAUUGCCCACACGUACAGAACUAUAAUAAAAAGACUACAUUAUUAUUGGGGUAGAGAAAAUAUGCAGACUAUAUUAUUAUUACAUCACAUUUUACUAAUUAACUAGUGCACGACUUAUUUAGUGUCAAAUCAAGAACUAAUUAGAAAAGACAACUCUUGAUAAUACAGACCUUAACAAGCAAUAGCUAACAACAUCCCAUAUACUCUUAUUUUAGCCUUCACUAUCCUGGUAAAAACACAAAUAAGUCUUGCAAACGAACAUUUAUAAGUAAAUUCAACAUUAAUUAAGAUUAGGUAUCUACUGCACCUUCAAUCAAUGACUGGGUGAAUAGCAUGGUCAACCAUCUAGUUCCUGUAGCCUUCCAUGUACCUAUGUUAGUUACAUUUUAUAUAUUAAGCCAUGAAAAUGAAGAACUCUUCCAUUUCAAACAGUGUUAGAAGAUAUUUGCAAAGCCUAAAGAUAACAUACGAGGACCAAGAUAUACACAGAUAGUUUCUUUACGGGACUAAAGAGCUUUUUUAGAUGUUAAAACUGUUUCAAACUCUUUUUCUUGUUUGGUUUAACUAAGGAAGAGCUUGUGGAAGAUUAAAAAUGAUGUUUCCUGUUCUCUGUAGGAAGCUUUUAGGAGAUUUUUUGGGUUUUUUUGAAAGGUUGAAUUGUCAAAAAUACCUUGAUGUUAUUGUUUGCUAAAAGAUGUUAUGGACAACUAAACAACCAACAACAUUUUGUUAAAAGCUCUACUAGUGUAGGAUCUACUUAAAGAAGCUAUACCAAACAGAUUCUUAGACUAAAUAACUCGAUCUUAAGUUUGUAAAAUUGGGCUCAGAAUCUCCACUAACAACCCCGCUUCGGUGAGAAAGCCCAAGCCUGUUACUUUGUAUAACCUUAUUCUGUAUGUUUGAUUGCAGGAACUGGCCGAUCAUACCGACGAGGUGAGUGUGCAACAUGAGGUGCUUGACGGGAUGUUUACUUUCUAUGAUACAACUAAAGCUAGCCUCAACAUAUAUCAGGUGCCUGCUUGUUUUUACCUUCUAGAUACUAAUAUUGUUUAGACGUGUAAUCUCUCUCUCCAUUGAACGCUAGACGGCUCGUCUCAAGCCUUCUACGUACAUCAGAGUCCUUCUUUAGCUUUUUAUGUAUAAAGUUUUGAUCUUUUUCCUUCAUUUGCUUGAAGCUCAUUACUGCAGAUUUUUUUUACAGGUUGCUAGUGUAACAUUCGACUUGCUGUUGCUUCUAGUGUUGGGAUCGUAUUUAAUUGUGCUUUUCAGCUUUCUUGUCACAACAACUUGGGUAUUACUCUUUCUCCAUAUCAAGCUUGAAGUUCUAAAUUUCAGUUUUAUCUUUUAUUUGAUGUUUUAUAAUUUCAUUGCAAACAGAUUAGAAUAGAAACUUCAAAAGUUCCAACUGACUAGUCCCGUGUAACUUUUUCAGGGAAUAUUUUCUCUCAUAACAACUACGAAUGUGUUAUGGUUUAGCUCAGUGACACAAAGGAUAGAAAAUCUAAGAUGCGAAAAAUUUUUGUUGAGAUUCAUUUUUCAUCCUGAUGUUACAGCUGGCCUUUUUUUUUUUUUUUGGCAGAGAAUAAUGCUUGUGUGAUUUCUGAACUUGGUGAUUGUUGAAAUGAGCUGAAAAUGAGCUGGAAAUGUGUUUGGUUAAUGAGAAAGAGAGCAAGAAAAUGAAAGAAAUCUAUUUCACUUUUUAUUUAUCAGCAUGAUUACAUUCACAAUAAAUCUAAGCUGCUAUUUAUACUUAAAUGAAUACACACGAGAAUCUUCUUGCUAGAUACUUCUAGAAACUCUACACGCACACUCACAUUGAGCUAGUGGUUACUAAAACCGUUACAACGAUAUUGCCAGCUCAGCAUAACCAACUUAUAACUAACACACUCAGCUGCAGGGGAAACCAUCAAGCUUACUGUGCAUCCUCUGUACUCAAGCUUCUUUAAGCAUGCUCUGCAGAUCAUACUCAAGCUUUUUUUUUCAUAGAAGUUGCAAUCUUUACGUUAUAUACUAGUUUGACUAGGCUAUAUAAGGAAGCUAUAUGAAAUUAGAAAAAUAAGCUAUACUAGGAAAGAAUAAAUAUAUGUACAGAAAAUUAGGCUAUAAUCUCUGACUUUAAACAAAUUUAAUAUCAAUUUUCUUCUGGAAGUUGUCUCGCAUGGGGCGCAUCAGUAUUGUAACGUCUGAUGGGUCUUACAUUAUCCACAAAAAUAACUCGUCCAUCUAGUACCUGCAAGUACAUACUCUGAGAUGCUUAAACUCAACAAUAUAAGCAUGGAAAAUUAGAGAAAAAUGAUGCAAUUUUACCUUCCCAUUCAUGUCUGCCGAGGCUUUUUGGGCUUCCUCUUCUGUACUGAAAGUCACAUAUCCGUAACCUUUUGAUCUAUUCUUACCUUUAUCCAUUAUUAUUGUAGCUGCAAACAGAAAAGAAUCGGAUAUUACAAAAUAGUGAAGAGGGAAGAGGGGUUGAGACUUAAAACAGAAAUAGACCAAACCCUCAGUGACGUGGCCAAAUUGUGAAAAAGCAUCAGCUAACAUUUCUUUAGUGGUUGAGAAAGAUACGCCUGCAAAGGAUGCCAGUUAAUUUUAUCAUAAUUUUAGAUGGUAAGAUUGCAAAUUCUGCAGCCAAAGGUAGUACGGAACUGAAUGAAGGAAAUCAAAUAUGAAUAUGUUUUCAAUCUCAGAAUAUUAAGAGUAGCAUAAGUAACUUGUGAAACAGUUACAAGUUCAACGGAAUUAACUGAUGGCAUGGUUGAAUUUUGUAAAUAUUUGAUAUUUUGAACCGAACACGGCAAACAGAUGGAUCCAGAUAAUCAAGAAAAACAUCAAUUCCAUGCAACCAAAUUAGUGUGGGCAAUGCAAUUGAGCAACACUAUAAAAUUAUUCAAAGAAAUCUCUAGGUCAGUAUCCAAAUAUAUUUCUGAAAAUGUUUUUUUCUCAUUAGCGCCGCCAUUUUUGUAAUAGAGGGUAAAGAAAUAAGUAACAAAGUAAGAGGUGAGCAGAAGCGGCCCAAUUUAGCUAUAUGCCAUGCAUGCGAUCAAAAUUGAACGGUUAAAUGGCAGCCACUAUGUUACAUCUUGUGUAAGUAACAAACCGCCUACAUGGAUCGUUGGAUUUGGGAAUAUGAAAUCCAAUGGAUAAUAUUGAAUUUAACGAAAAAUAGAUUACAGGUUGCAUUAGUCCAAGUUUAUUUCAAACAAACCAGCUGACGAAAUAGCCGCUAAUCAAAUUUAAAAGGGAAAAAAAAAUCAAAUUAUAGGUUAUAGAUCUUAUUUCCAUCUUAAAUCUAUGUCUUUCGUGGUGACUCAAUUUGUAAACUAAUUUAUAAUUUGGAUCUAUAUUAGAGCUAAUGCUUCCCUAAAUAACUAAGAAAAUUUUCUUUUCAUUGAUUAAAUAUUUAUUUCCAAUAUCUUGUAUAUGUAGGAUUUGAAAAGAGGGAAAAUAGUAGGGAUGAUAAUGAGAGAAGAUAGAGAUGUCGAUUCUCAAAUCUAAUAUUAGUGCUAUACUUAUAUUCCUAUACUAAAUAAAUUAUCCAAGGUUCGUGCUUAACGAUACGUUGCAAAAUUUUAAUUUCUAUUUAAAGCUCUGUCUAAUAUGGCUUUUCAUAAAGCUUAGAGAAAAGUAGAGCUUUUACCAAAAAAAAAUUAAUUAGAAUUGUCAAUGAUAAAUUUUAAAAAGUACUUUAAUAAAUAAGCUUUUAAAGUUAUAUAUAUUAUGAAAGAAAUGAAAUAAGAUUAUAUAAUAAAUUAAGAGUAUCUUAGAUAAUUGAACUUUAAAAAAAAAACUCGCUAAGAGGUUUAAAAUUUGAGUUUUAAUAGUGGAUACAAAAUAGUUUAUUUAAUUCUCAAAAGCUCUACUCAAAAUAGUUUAUUUAAUUCUCAAAAAAUAUUUUUUUCAUUGAGUAAAUAAUACUAAACAUGCACUAAAGUGUUAGGACCAGAAGUUGUACAAAAAAUGAUGGCUACAACUUAAAUUAUGAAUGGAGUAAUCGGAGAAUAUUGAAACCCGUUUAAUUUGGAUCGUGCAUUGAGGGACGAAAGGAUAAAAAAUUUAAUUUUGAAAUUGCUGUUGGGUACGGUACAAUGACUUACCGUUGACAGCUUUUGCAACCGGAUUACAAUCGGUUAGUUCAAUAAUUUUAUAUCCCCAUUUAACCGCCACGUGCUGCUGUUACAUGGGUCAAUUAGUCAUGUCAUUACUGUUACUUACAGAUGCCGUAACAUAACCGGACCCUGGUUAAAUUCUGUUGUUUCCAAUAAUUUUAUGCUGUAUCUUCUUUAAUAAUAAAGAAAACUUGCAUUAAAAUUAAAAUUAGGGUAAUACCUGAUUUUAUAAAUAGAUUGCAAUGUAAUUUUGAAAAAUAAAACAAUAAUUUACAAAAUGUUUAUAACAUAAUUUUAAUUUUUUUUCAAAAAGGAAAAAGAACAAAAGUAAGAAAUAGAGAAUUAGGGCUACAAACUUUGUAUCUUAAACGGCCGUUAGAUUAUUUGUAAAUGAAAGCAACGGUCAGAUAUUGGUGGAUUAUGGAAACAUGUAAUCAUAAGGACUGUGAGUUUUUUUUGUUACAUUAAUAUAUUACAAUCAAAUUCUAUUAGUAUUUACAACUAGAAUUUCAUUUGACUAUCUUUGAUAAUUCUAAACUAGUACAACCCAAAUUCUUAUUCUCACAUAAUAUCAAAGAGAGAUAUAUAUUCUUCUCCUCUAUUAAUAAAGAGACAUUUUUAUUUCCUUUUAAUAGUUAGGACUCAGAACUCAUACACGCUAGUUUGAGAGUGUUGGGUGUGACAAUGAGCCAGGAGACCAUUGACAAGUACAAAAGAGUGGUAGAAAUUAAUUCAAUCCGCUACACACGCUAUUGCAACCAAAUUGAGGGCCCAUUUUUGUUUAUUUGGUUGAAAAAUAGUUUGCAUAAUUAAUUCAAACCGCUACACACGCUAUUGCAACCAAAUUGAGGGCCCAUUUUUGUUUAUUUCGUUGAAAAGCAGUUUGCACAAUUAAUUCAAACCGCUACACACGCUAUUGCAUCUUUUGAAAAAGAAAAACAGAAUAGUUUUCUAAAAUUAAUUCCGAGAAGAAGAUUAACUAAUAAUGAUGUUAGAAAUUUUAAUAUUUGAGUCUUAAUAUUAUGUAUCACUCAUUUAUUAAAUAAUAGAUUUCAUAAUUUAUAAAAUUACUUAACCACUUGAUAAAUGUUAUAUUUGUUGGGACUAAAUUGGGACUUAAAUGUUGGAAUAUCUAGUAUUGCAUUAAAAAAUAAAUAAAAACAUAACAAUUUAUCUUCACUUGACUAAUUGUUUUUACAUCACAACUAACCUUAAUUAUUUUGAAAGUUACAGUAUUAUUAAAUUGUCCUAACUGGUUAUCAAAAGUUGAAGCAUGUUAAAAUAAAAAAAAUUACCAAGAAACAUGUGCUUAAACAGAGGUUAAGGCUAUGAACAAUUAAGAAGAAACUCUUAAUUUGGUCCCAGUUAGUAUAAUAAUCAUCUAUUGAGCGGUAAAAUAUUAAUUUUAAUAGUGAUGAAAUCCAAUAUAUAAUAGAUUAAUAACACACAUAAAUUAAAACUUAACUGUCAGAAAUCAUAACAUUACUCUACUCUUCAGUAGAGUUCUCUUAACAGAUUAUGUGAGAUUGCCUACAUUAAAAAUAGGUUAAGACUGCUUGUUGAAAGCAAUAUUCGCUUUUUCAUUAUAUCCAUAACUUUGUUGGGUCCCUCUAUGGUGCCGUAAUUUUUUUUACGGUAUUAAUAGUGUAACAAAUUUGUACCAUUAGAUAUAAUCAACGGUACACAUUAUUUUUAAUAAUGAAAAUAUUUAAUUAUUUCACAAAUGUUAUAACCGGUUAACAAACCGGUUGCAAAACCUAUUUUAAAUUUAAAAGGAAAGAAAAUAGAGAUAUAAUAAAACUCAAUCUCCUUCUUUAUCUCAUAAAAUUCGUAAUCUGUUUAUCUCCUUUGUUGUUGUAUUGAAAUUGGAUUCCUCAAUGCUGUCUCAGUUCACAAAUGAUUAAUCGUGUCAAAUCGUAAGCUUGUUCUUAUCGUUCAACUUUUUCUCCAUUUAUUGCCACAUUUAUUUGAUAGGUAGGCUUUUAAAUUUAUUGCUCGAUGGUGACAUUAGACAAGGAAUCACAGAUUUGAUGUUCUUUGUUGUACUAAAUUCAUAUCAAAUCUUGCUUUGAUGCUAUAAUAUAUUUAGUUACUACCUUACAUUUUCUUUUUUCACAUUUGAAAACAAAUUCUUUUUAUUCAUAGGAUUACAUAAAGUGCGCAGCCCUGAAGUUUGAACUUCAAAGGAUAAAGUUGCAUUGCAGCAUGUUAAGCAGCAAAGCUUCUUCACUGCAUUAGAUAGAAGACGGUGAAUCAAGUGCAGCCAAGACUUGGCUGAGUCAGCAAUUAACCACCAAUCGUUUAAGAAAGAGGGGCAAAGCAAGUUGAGGCCCACUUAUUAAUCUUAGCCUCUGAUUCCAUUCUCCUUUUCUCCGUCCUGAUUUGAUUAUCUCCAGCAGUGACGCUAAAGGUUAAACUGGCAUGAUCUUGCCCACAUAUAAAUGUAUUUUUUUUUUUUAGGAUCUGAAGGGGCAAAUUUUUUUUUCAAGUUUGUUAUAUGAUCUUUUGUGAAGACCUGAAGAUACGAGAGUCAGAUUAAUAAUUUUGUCUCUCUUAGGCUUUAUGCAGUGGGAAUGAACUUUCUCUCUUUUAAUUCUCUGCCAUUUUCUCAAUGAAGGCAGCAAGAGAAUAUUCAGUCUUUCAAAGUCUCAACAUUCAUAAUUUGGCCAGUCUAGUUGUUUACCUUGCAUCUGCUGGAGUAUUAUAUCGCCAAGAGAUUUUUCCGUUGCACUUUACGAAUUUAUAUUAUUUUGAGGAGGGAAUUCAGCUAACUAUUAAUAUCAUACAAUUGAAAUUUAAAUGUCGGUCUUUAAAUUCUAAAGAUUAAAGACAAGCCUAAUAUGAAAAUACAGAUGUUAAAAUCUUCAUUUUUGUUUAUUGAUACUUUAUUUGUUAGUAUCAUAAUUUUAGAGAUAUAUUUGAUGUUACAUGAUUGACUAAAUAUUAACAUUAAAAUGCAGAUGGAAAGAAAAAAUGAUGGAGGGCUCCAUAAAAGCAUAAAAAGAAACGGAGAUGGUGAAGCAAACUUUCGAAAUUGCAACCAUGAGAAGGAAUUGACAAAGCUUAAUGAAAAAAUGGAUGGGAUGACAUUUAAUCUUGUCGCUGUCAGGCAUGAACUUGGUGAGCUGAAGAGGAACAAUUUAGAUACUUAUGCAUUGGUACAAAAAAUGUAUAGUGUAGUUGAAGCACUUGAACGUAAUAUAACUCAUAUGCAAUCACACGCAUGGAAGGAAAAGAUGAACUCUUCUAGUAAAGAUGUUCAAAAUAGUAAAAAUGAAUCAAGUGGUCAAAAUUUCGUGGAAAAGGGAGAUGAGUUUGGGGUGAAGAUCGCAGAGAUUAAGGACAAGAUUGAAGACGCAUGUGAUGAAAAUUUAUCAUUGAAAAACUUAUUUGUGUAUAGGAAACAAAAAGAGAACCAAAUCUUCCACAAUGUUGUUAAAAAGGUAUGAUAAUAAACUAUUAUUCUACAUUUUUUUUUCAAAAAUAUUUGUAUAGCACAUUCAUUAAACAAAAAAAUAAUAAUAAUAAAAUUCAUGUUCUUAUGCAUGUAGGAUAAAGCCAUGGAUGCAGUUGAUUUUGUGGAUUUGGUAUCAUCGGUGGAAGUAGAUGCAAUUGAGGAUAAAAAGGUGCGUCCUCGAAAGCCCAGUCGUUAUAAAAAAUCUCCUUAUGAAAAUUUUACAAAAAAAAAAGGCUAUCGCAAGAAGGAGUUCGAUUUAUCCAAACAUGGAGCUUCUUUUUCGGAGGAAGAAUGGUAUAUUUUACAGUAUAUUUUUCAUGAACAACUAGAUAAAAGGUAUGGAACUAUUUAAAUAUAAUCAUAUUUUAUAUGUUUGUAUUUUGAUGUUAUUAUUUGUUUUAAUUAACUAUUAAUGUGAGUGUAUAACUUAUGCAGAGAGAAAAUUGUAAUGACAAAACGACAUAUUGUUACCCGCUUCUUAAUGUCUUCUUUAGCUCCUAAUGUUUGGAUAUUUGAUGAGGUAUAUUGUGUUAGUGUGUGUGUCUAAUAUUCAGAGCGUAAUAAGAUUAUAUGUAUUUAAUUUAUAAUUUAUUUUUCAUUUGGUAGUGCAUGUUUUAAUAAUAAUGUUGUGAUGAUUUUAUUCAUAGAUCAUAAGUUGCUAUGCUGAGUAUUUAACUAGAAAGGAGAGUUUGAAGCAAGAUAAUGAGACUCGAAAUUGGUUUUUACCAACUCUUUUUGGGGUAUGUUAUAAAUUUUUGUUGUUACAAAUAUAUAAUAUGCUUUUACAAAAAAAUUAGAAUUUUUUUAAAAUUAUAUCUUACCAUCUUCAUAUAAUUAUUAAUUUAUGAAUGUUGUAGCAAAUAGUGGCGAAUGUGUCAGGUGUUUCAACUAUUGAUAGAUCAGAGAUUGAAAUUUCGGUUCGUAAACAUAACAUUUGUGAAUUUUACAUGGGUGCACUCAAAAGAUGUGAAAAGGUCAGGAAUAUUAUCAUAUGUUCAAAAAACAAAAAAAUUUAUUUACUCAAAUAUCAUAUGUUUUAUUAUUAUCAUUUGAAGGGAGUAAUGAUUAAUACAAAAUUAGUGUAUUGUUGCACAGAUAUAUGUUCCUCUUUAUGACGGGCUUGCAAAACAUUGGUAUCUUGUAAUAAUGAAUAUAAAAGAUAAGACUGCUGAGAUUUGGGAUUCUUUGCCUAAUUCUGAAAUAGAACCAAAUCAUCGUCAAGAAAUCGUUAAGCAAAAUGUAAGUUCAAAUUUUUUAUUUGUUUAUAUGAAAUUACUAGAUGCAAUAUAUAUUAACUAUCAUUAUUAUUAUGCAGUACAUGCAUUGGNNNNNNNNNNNNNNNNNNNNNNNNNNNNNNNNNNNNNNNNNNNNNNNNNNNNNNNNNNNNNNNNNNNNNNNNNNNNNNNNNNNNNNNNNNNNNNNNNNNNCCUAGUCUUGCUUCGUGAUAUAGCCUUUAACUUUCCUUCUGAUUGGGUAUUUCGUUGACUUUGACAUUUUAUAUCCAAAUAAUGUGCCAAUUCAACCAAAUGGAAAUGAUUGUGGCUUGUAUGUGAUGAAGUUUAUGGAGACUCCAUGUGAGAUGUUAUUCCCAACUUAUAAGGUAACUUAAUCAUACAAUUUAUAUUUCUUAGUUUGCACAAUACUUUAAUCAAUAUUAAAUUGUUAUUAAUUCUAUUAUAUGCAGUAUGAAUCGGAUGAAGAAAGAUUUCGUCUUGCGCUACUCCUUGUAAAUGGUGAUGCAAAUGAAGUAAGAGAUAGUGUUAUACAAAAAGCACUAUCAUUCCGUGGUCCUAAGACGAAUGUUAUUGCAACUAGUAAAGUUAGAACUAAAGUUGCUUCUCAAAAAAAACAUCGUUCAAUUAAUAAAGUUAGAACUGUAAUUGGUACUGGAGAAUAUUUGAAGAAACCAGGAAGAAAAUCCAAUUGAUCUGCCUAGUAGAGGUUUAAUAAAUUUGGUAUUGGACGUAAUUUGUAUUUUGUCACUUUUAAUUUUUUUGUCCCCUCAAUUGAAUUUUAUAUUCAAUGUAAAGUUUUUAUUUGGAUUACUUAAUUUUCUUUUUUAGUUUUUAAGUUUUUGGAUUACUCUUUAUGAAAAUUUUGUGUCUUGUUACUUUCAAUUUUUUUUGUCCCCUUUAAUUGACCUUUGUAUUCGAUGUAAAGUUUUUAUUUGGAUUACUCAUUAAGUUUUGUUAGCUUUUGAGUUUAUGGUCUCUUCCAAUUAAAAACUUUCAAAAAAUAAUAGCCUGCUUUUUUUUUUUUUGUGUGUGUUUUAAGUUCAGCCUACAAGUGAAUGACUGUAAGUCGUUAACUAAAAAUCUAAAAAUGUCAAAUGUCAAAUAUUCUUCCGCUUCUCAUCACCUUCUUUUCCAACCUAUAAUAUGCCAAACAAAAAUGCAUCAAUAAAAAUAAAUUUAGAUAACAGCUAAAAUAUUCAACCUUUGUAAGAAUUAUCCUAAUAUAAAUAUACCUCAUUAAGUACUGGACAUUUGCGUCUAUUGUGUCCAGGUAAUUUGCAAUACCCACAUUUUUUCAAAUUGACGCCUUUAUUAAAUCUUGCACUAGGAGCACCUUUCGUCUUCACACUUAAUGGAUCUUUUAUAAUAGCAACAUUUCUCUUCUCACUGGACCAUCUACCUCUUUUCUCUUCAAAAUUCCCACUCAACUCUAACAUUUCAGACUUAAGUUGUGUGAUAAGACCCUUUAAUUUCAAGUAUCCAGCAUCUGUCAUCGAGGCAUAGAAAAAUGUGUCUAGUUACAGAAGAAAUUUACAGAAUCAAAUUUUGACUUCGCUUCUUAAAGAUAUUCACGAUUUAGUGCACAAAGGUCACAACCGUCUAGAAACCACACAAGAUCCGAUGUUUCUGAAUUAACUGAUAUCAAUUAACAAGGAAUAAAAUUAAAAACUAUAUAUCUAUAGAAAGAUUUAUUUUUCAGGAGUUCAAAUAAUUUUACGGUUUUCUAUUUGAAGUUUUCUACAUGAAGAUAUGGCUUAAAGAAUGCUGACUGCUCAAAAUCACUGAAGCAACCAAGUCUAUGAUUAUCAGAAAACUUGCAUGAUUAAACUGUACUGAUCUAGAAUAUAUGAGAUUGCAUACUAUAUAUUUUUUGAUAGAUAAAUAUGUCUAGUUACAGAAGAAAUUUACAGAAUCAAUUUUCGACUUCGCUUCUUAAAGAUAUUCACGAUUUAGUGCACAAAGGUCACAACCGUCUAGAAACCACACAAGAUCCGAUGUUUCUGAAUUAACUGAUAUCAAUUAACAAGGAAUAAAAUUACAAACUAUAUAUCUAUAGAAAGAUUUAUUUUUCAGGAGUUCAAAUAAUUUUACGGUUUUCUAUUUGAAGUUGUCUACAUGAUGGCUGAUGUGUUUCAGCAGAUAUUACAAGAGGAAAUAUAUCUUCUCCCAGUGAUGGUUUUGAGAGAUCGUCCAACUCAUAGAAGCCUAAGUCGAUGCCUGUUCCCGAAGGCUGACGAAACUUCUGACCCAAUCCUUUCUUAAAGGGAAUUUUUGCCGGCAUAUAAGCUUCAGGAAACAGUGGAACAAACUUACAGUUGGGCUCUUCCUUGGCAAAGUAGAAAACAGUGAUGCUGCAGAUAAGAAAAGAAAAUAAAGAGAUAUGGCUUAAAGAAUGCUGACUGCUCAGAAUCACCAAAGCAACCAAGCCUCUGAUUAUCAGCCAAAUUCCAUGAUUUAACUGUAUUGAUCUAGAAUAUAUGACAUUACAUAAUAUAUAUGUUUGGAUAGAUGAAUGUAUCUAGUUGUGGAAGAAAUUUACAGAAUCAAGAUAGACUAAUAAUAACUUAAUAUUAACAAAAUUUUUAUUGUACAUGUUAUUUUAUCAAUUAUAUUUAUUGUAACACUUUAUUUGUAUCAUAUGAUUUUUAUUUGUUAUUUUUAUCCUAUUACUAUAUUUAUAUUUAUUUAGAUUGAUUUAGUCAAAAGGUAUAAUAGUCAUUUAGGAAAUUAAGAGGGUCUAUGUGACUAUUUAUGAAACUAAAGGAACAUGUAUAAUUAUUUUAGCAAAUCUUAGGGGUGUGGGUGGUUUUUUCCGAAAUUAAUAUUGAUUUAAAAUUAAAAAAUUAAUAUUUACCUGUAACCUGUAAGUUACCUGCUCUAUUUUAAUUAAUUAUCUAAUUAUCUAUUAUAUUAAAUGAAUGAUUCAGAUUAAAACUCUUAUAUCUAAGGGUCCACAUUAGUUCCACUAUCAAUACUGUAAAAAUAAAUACAGCAUCAUAAAGAAAUCCAACUUUGAAUUGAUAAAGUUGUAUUCAACAGCUCUUGAAAAGACUAAGCUGGUCUUCUUUGCAUUUGAUCACUGGUAUUUCAGUUAAGUUUGUCGUUUACUUAAAUUUUUCUUGCUUUCAAUUUCCACUGUUGUUUUUUUUUUAAUAAAAUAAUUUGUUUAACUAGUCAUAGAAAUAAGAGAGAAAAUGGGCCAUUUCUUGACUCAAAGUCAAUUAUAAUUAUCAAAACUUGAGCGGACAUUGCAUGCCUAAAUUCCACGCACCCUAAAACGGUUUGAUUUGCUUUCACGCGUUCAUGAUUUUGCAUGAAAGAGAGUGCCUCUCGUCUCUUUCCGGACAGUGACUACAGUCAUGGAAAAAUUAUGUUAACGUGACGAAUACAAAACGUUAUUACAUACAAGAAUAAGUUUUUGGACCCGAGACUUGAGGGAGGUUCUAUCUAAUUCUAAAGAUUGUAACCAAAGCAUUAUCCCCAAUUUUUUUAAGUUAAAUAAAAUAAAAUUUAUGCUUAAGUAUAAAUAAUUUUUUAAAGUUAAAUAUAAAAUAAAAUUCAUGAACUUCCAAGAAAGAAAGAAGACCCUUCACCUUCUUCGUGACAACAAAUGAUGUUGAUAUGACAAAUACAAGCGCUAGUACAGGGAACAGCAUAAGACCGAGACUUGAUAAAUAUUAAAUAUAUAAAAUAAGUGGAGCAAACGAACAGAAUAAUAGAUUUUUAUAAUAUUCUUCAUAAAAAUCCAAGUUUUGAGCUGGCCCAUAAGCUUAUCUAGUGAAGUCUGGGUAUCCGCGUUGCCCAAGGUUCCGUUUGAAUUCAGGCUGUGCUGAUAUUUAUGACAUCCGACGGAGAGGAAAUAUUUUCAGUUGACUAAAUUAAAUAAAAGUAUAUUAUAAUCAUAUUAUAUAUUAGCAACAAAAAUAAAAAGAAAUGAAGAAAAACGCAUGCAAGACUUAGAGAAGUCAAUUAAAAGAUGGGAGUAUCAUCAGUUCAAUUGGUUAUAAAUAGCGUAGAGCCAUCCUCUCGUUGUUGCAGAAGAGAGACAGAAAGAGUGUGUGUAGGUGAUUAUAAUUAAGAAGAUAUAAUGUGUGGUUCAAAAAGAGUGUGGGUGAGUGAGUUAAUACUCAUAUUAUUAGUAGUAAAAGGGUGGUGGAGUGAGGGAUGUUUGGAGCAAGAGAGGUCUGCUCUCCUCCAACUCAGACAUUUCUUCAAUGAUGAUCAACGUCUUCAAAACUGGGUAGACGAUGAGAAUAAUUUAGAUUGUUGUCAGUGGGAAGGGAUUGAGUGCAACAACACCACUGGCAGUGUGAUUAAAUUAGAUCUAGCACAAACUCGAAAAUGGGAAUCAGCGAAGUGGUAUAUGAAUGCCUCUCUGUUUACUCCCUUUCAACAAUUAGAGUCUCUUGAUCUAAUUGGGAACAAUAUAGCUGAUUGUGUUAAAAACGAAGGUCAUUAAUUUACUCUAUUUUAAUUCUUCCUCCUCGUAAUUUCUUACAUCUAUCUGAUCCCUUUUGGCUUUUGUUUAAUUUGUACGUGAUACAAUAAAAUUAUUUUUUUUCAGGUUUGGAGAGGUUAUCAAGGUUGAACAACUUGAAGUUUCUUUUUUUAGAUGAUAACUACUUCAACAACAGCAUCUUUUCAUCUCUAGGUGGUCUUUCAUCACUCAGACACUUAUCAUUGGCUGUUAAUAGAUUGAAUGGAAGUGAUGAUAUUAAAGGUAAGUAAGCUUCAUCCCUUCUCCCGUGUCCCAUCUUUGUGGAUCUUAUUUCAUCGACCAGCUGGAAGUAUUGAUACGAGAUCUAGCUAGACUCUUGCUAGUUUAAGCUUCAAGGCUUUGAAUAUUAUAAAAAUAGGUUUAAGGAAUUAUCAAUAUAUGCAAUUUUCUAUGCUUCUCAUAAUCAGACACAAUUCAAUCUAAUUAUUUCGUAUGUCCUCUCUUCAAAAGUAAAGAAUUGUACACUAAACGGAAAUCGACAUUGUAGCUUUUUAUUUUUUCUAAUGCUCUUUCUUUGUUAACGAGUUUAUAUCCUGAGAGUGCAUUGGAUUCAAAAAAAAAAAAGUUUUGAUGUUCAAGGUAAGCCAUAAUAACAUGCAUCUUAUUUAUCUGUCUAUAUCUAAAUUUGUGCACUGAAUUUAGUAUUUUAGUUAGUGUGAAGGGAUCAGAUAUUGGCUUCCAUAAACCAACUUGUAUUUACUUAAUUAAUUAAUUAACACCAUUUAGUAUUUAACAAAUUAAAAUUUCGUGUUUAAUUUGUCUUAUUUUUUAUUUUUUGAAGCAAGAAUAAGGUAUAGCAGUAGGUAAAGUUGAAAUACAUAUUUAUUCCUUACAAAUUUAAAUUCGUUUUCAGCCAAAUAUACCUACUUAAAACCACUCAAUCAUGCCAUUGGCAACAGUUUUUUAGGUUUUUCUAGUUAACCGUGUACUUUUUUGCUUAUUAAUAAAAUUCUUUUGUGCUGAGAUUUAAAAUAAAGAAGGAGAAAAUAAGUUAUUUAAUUAACCUUGUUUUAAGUGUUGGCAUAAAUGCAGGACUGAAUUCCUUGAGUAACUUGGAGGAGCUGGACAUGACAGGCAAUGCAAUCGAAAAUCUUGUGGUUCCUAAAGGUAUACAAAAUGUUCAAAUAUUAAUAAUUUGGAGGACAGUUUAAUUGAUUUGAUUAGGGAAUGCCCAAAUGACACUUACCCAAAAUAAUUUAAUCCAAAAUUGUAUCCCAAACAGAUUUCAUAGGUUUGAGGAAGUUGAAUACCCUUAAUUUAGGGGGAAGCGAAAUUCGAAUGAUAGAUGGAAGCAAGGUGUUGCAAUCAAUAGGAUCACUACCGUCCCUCAAAACACUUUGCCUUUCAUAUACUAAUUUUACGGGAACAGUAGUUAAUCAAGGUAAGUAAAUCUUUUAUGUCGAAAAUAAUUGAAUUAAUAUAUAUAGCUAAAAUUUAUUGUUUCUACUUCUUUCUACAUAGAAUUGCACAAUUUCACCAACUUGGAAGAAUUGAUAUUGGGCAAAUCUGAUCUCCAUGUAAGCCAGCUUCUGCCAAGCAUCGCAUCAUUCACUUCGUUAAAGUAUUUGUCAAUGGGAGGUUGUAUACUCACAGGUGCCGUACAUGGUCAAGGUAAAUUAUGGGUAUCUGAAGCUUUUAAAUUUUUUCUUUUAAAUUUUUUAUAUUUUCACUGUCCAAUGGUUCUACCUUCUCUAAAUUGUAGGAUUCUUGAUUAAGGUUAAUGAAAUUUUUGUUCUGUUAUGUUAAGAAUAUUUCGAUCGCUUAGAAGAGUAAAGAAAAAUAAGUAAAUUAACCCAAAAAAAAAAGAAAAGAACAGGACCGGAUUAUCCUUAUUCCCUUGCAUUAUGUGAUCAAUAUCAAAAUUAUAACCAUUUCUUGUUUAUUGCUUGUAGAUUUUCGUAAAUUCAAGAAUUUGGAAAAUCUGGACAUGAAUCUGGUGUAUGUUGACGUCAACACCAGUUUUCUUCAAAUUGUCGGUGAAUCGAUGCCUUCUCUCAAGUUUUUAUCACUGACAGAUUCAAUUCUUAAUAAAAACACCAUUCUUGAUCAAGGUUAAUUAAUGAUUCUCCUUCUCCCUCUCUCGCAUCAUAACUAAAUUUAAUUGAGAAUAUCUAUAAUGCGAGCUAUUUAUAAACUUAAUGAAAGAUGAUAAGGAGCCAUAAUAAUGACAAAAAUAACUGUAAAAUAGUGCACUGUUGUAGUGUUGAUUGAAAAAUAAUGCUAAUUUUUUACUUAACAUUAUAACGCUGUAUAAUUUUACAGUUAUUUUGUUGCCAUUACGUCAGAUUAUACUGUUCAACUAUCAGUGAUCAAACUUAAUUUUUAAUGUGUACUUGAAAGAUAUGUAAUUAUUUAUCUAUGUGUACUGAAGGAUGAAUUAUAUAUUUUUCAGGACUUUGUCAGUUAGUGCAUCUGCAAGAGUUACACAUCGGCGGUAAUGAUUUGAGAGGUAGCUUGCCAUGGUGCUUGGCAAACAUGACAUCCCUUCAAGUGUUAGAUGCCUCUUCUAAUCAACUUACUGGAAACAUCUCCCCAGGCCUUUGUGAGUUGGUGUUUCUAAGAGAGUUAUCCAUUCAUAACAAUGAUUUAAGAGGUAGCUUGCCUUUGUGCAUGGCAAAUUUGACUUCCCUUCGAGUAUUAGAUGUCUCUUACAAUCAACUUACUGAAAACAUCUCAUCUUCCCUCAUGCAUCUAAUAUCUAUGGAAGAGCUCAUAAUUUCAAAUAAUCACUUCUUCCAAAUCCCUAUUUCACUUGAACCACUUUUCAAUCUCUCAAAACUCAAGACUUUCGAUGGUGAAAUAUGCGCAAAAACUGAGUCACAUUAUAAUUCUUUGACCCCAAAAUUCCAACUGACUUCUAUCUCACUAUCUGGUUACAUAGAUGGUGGCACAUUUCCCAAAUUCUUGUACCAUCAGCAUGACUUGAAGAAUGCUGAUCUCUCACACCUUAACUUGAGUGGAAAAUUUCCAAAUUGGUUGCUAGAAAACAAUACGAACUUAGAGACGCUUCUUCUUGCCAACAACUCUCUUUUUGGAUCAUUUCGGAUGCCAAUUCAUUCCCACCAGAAAUUGGCAAUAUUGAAUGUCUCCAACAAUUUCUUUCAAGGCCAUAUUCCGGUGGAAAUCGGAACAUAUCUGCCAGGUUUAACGGAUUUAAACUUAUCUAGAAAUGCUUUCAACAGUAGCAUUCCCUCUUCAUUUGCUGAUAUGAAAAUGUUGAAAAGGUUGGACAUAUCCUACAAUCAGUUGACUGGUGAAAUCCCUGAGCGCAUGGCCACGGGUUGCUUCUCAUUGGAAAUUCUUGCAUUGUCAAACAACAGUUUGCAAGGUCAUAUAUUCUCUAAAAAAUUUAACUUGACAAAUUUGAUGAGGUUGCAGUUGGAUGGUAAUAAAUUCAUUGGAGAGAUCCCAGAAAGCUUAUCUAAGUGCUAUUUGUUGGCAGGAUUGUAUCUGAGUGAUAAUCAUCUCUCUGGUGAGAUUCCAAGAUGGUUGGGUAAUUUGUCAAUUUUAGAAGAUAUUAUAAUGCCCAAUAACAAUCUGGAAGGACCAAUUCCAAUCGAGUUCUGUCAGCUUUAUUUUCUGACGAUUUUAGACCUUUCAAACAAUGCUAUUUUUGGAACCUUACCAUCUUGUUUUAGUCCAGCAUCUAUUGAACAAGUUCAUUUGUCAAAAAACAGGAUAGAAGGACGGUUGGAAAGUAUAAUCCAUGACAGCCCCAAUUUGGUGACAUUAGAUCUCAGUUAUAAUCGCUUACACGGAAGUAUUCCAAAUCGGAUUGAAAGACUACCUAAGUUAAACUACAUUCUUUUGGCUAAUAAUUAUAUUGAAGGCGAAAUACCAGUUCAAUUAUGCCAUUUGAAGGAAGUGCAGUUGAUUGAUCUUUCUCAUAAUAAUCUAUCUGGUCAUAUUCCUCCUUGCUUGGUUAACACUUCACUUAGUGAAGGUCAUCAUGAGGCAGUAGCUCCAACUUCUAGUUUGUUGGGUCAACUGCCUGCCUCACCUCCAUCUGAAUCUGAGGCUGCAAGUGGACCUCCGAUGGGAAAGGAAGAAACUGUACAGUUCACAACAAAGAAUAUGUCCUACUAUUAUCAAGGAAGAAUUUUGACGAGUAUGUCUGGGAUUGAUCUUUCUUGUAACAAACUGACAGGUGAGAUUCCUACUCAAAUUGGAUAUCUUACUAGGAUUCAUGCACUAAAUCUAUCUCAUAACAAUUUGACGGGCACAAUCCCGACAACAUUUUCAAACCUGAAGCAAAUCGAAAGCUUGGACCUCUCCUACAACCUACUGCAUGGGAAAAUCCCUUCUCAGCUCACUGUGCUAACUACAUUGGCGGUCUUCAGAGUAGCAUACAAUAACUUAUCAGGCAAAAUCCCAGAUAGAGUUGCACAAUUUUCAACAUUUGAGGAAGAUAGCUAUGAGGGGAAUCCUUUUCUUUGUGGAUGGCCACUGUCUAAAAGUUGCAAUGAUAGUGGAUUAUCAGCAGUGACACCAGAAGCUUACACUGAAAAUGAAGAAGGUGAUAGUUUAAUUGACAUGGACAGUUUCUUGAUCACUUUUACAGUAUCUUAUGGAAUUGUGAUAUUAGGAAUUAUCGGAGUUUUGUACGUAAACCCCUAUUGGCGGCGAAGAUGGUUUUACCUUGUUGAAGUGUGUAUGACCUCUUGCUACUAUUUUGUGGCAGACAAUCUUGUUCCUAGAAGAUUCUAUGGUGGAUGGAUGUAAUUUCAUUUACUUUACAACUUAUAUGUAAUUUUUAAAGAAUUUUCUUUUGCAUGCAUGGAAUAGCAACUCAAUAAAAGUAUUUGAUGCAAAUUGUCCAAGAACAACUUAGUAAUUUCAUUGCUACUAUUCGGUUGUAUAUAUACAGUUAAUGAAAUUUUUAAUCAUUCGCAGUAGGAAUUUCUUUAGAUGGCGGCCAAAACUAACAGAUUUGGGGCUCUACUUCUACACAUCAUAACAGGCAAAAGGUCUCUCUUUUACACGAUCUGAAUCAUUCAAUAGGUGUCUACUUCUACACAUCAUAACAGGCAAAAGGUCUCUACUUCUACGCCCCCUGGAGUUCUCCAUUAAACUUGACGGUUGAGAUUUCAGGUCCAGAUGAAAGUUAAAUGCAGGCGACGAGACUACACUUUAAGUAAACUGGGACAAACUUAAAAUAAAAAAAACUAUAGUCCAGGGUGAGAGUGAUGGGUAGCUCAACUUAUGGAGGAUAACUAGGACUUGGAAUAACUAUCAGAUUUGCAACUCUUGUAAUAUAUAGUGGGCAUUCAGGUAGCAAUUAUCGCCUUGGGAGUUACCGUAAUCGAUUCAUUUCCUCCUUCAUUUCUGAUGGUAACCCAGCUCUAUACAAGAACAAUAAGAGAAGGUUCCUUUAAGAAAUUUCACAACCCACAAUUUUUUUUUUUCCUUUUUGCCCUGUUCCUCACAAUAAACACACCUAACACACCAAGCCGUGCCCAAAAUAAUCCUAUUUUAUUCAUGUCAUGAAUCCAAAAACUAUCCCAGCUCACUUUGUUUAACCAGCAUAACUAAAUUGUGGGUAUAAAUGAACAGACUUUCGAAGCCUGUAACUUAUAAUAAGCUCAAACCCAAAAAUGACAUUUAAAUCCUGCAAGUGUUUUUCAUCAUCCCUAACAAAAAGAAACAAGAAUAAUUAUAUACCAAUAAUUUUUCCAUAAAAAAUACUGAUUUGAGUUGAAGCACUAUACAAACUGGGUUUUAUUACACUUGCAGAAAGCUACACGGUAGACAAAAUCUAGCAGCUACAUAUUGGUAUCACUUUCAGCUGGUCAUGAAUGGUGUGCAUUCAGCAGUGCACAAUAGACCAUGUCUAUGAAUUGAUUGUCCUAUUACAUAUAAAAGCUGGUCAGAUAUACAAGGAAAAAAAUAAUAAUUGAAAAUGCAUCACAAAAAAUAAGUGUUUCGCAUUAGUGUUUGCACUCUUAAGCAUGGCAAAGUGGUGCAGGGUUCAUGAUUUUGAAGACAAUGAUAAGUGAAAAAUAGUUCAAUCCAUUGAUGAACAUAAAUUUAUUUACAUGUCAAUUUAGAUACCAUCAAAAAGUAAACAGUAAUUCACAGUCACUUAAAAUAGUUGAUAAAAUGCGUGCCAUGAAUGCAUUUUUGUACAUAAGAAAUCCAAAGAGUAUUUCUGACAAUACAAAUAUGCUAGCUUUAAGUCUGCUGUCAAUAUGCAAUUAAGAAGAUUAUACCAGCUGCAUGAUAAAGUUCCCCUAAUCUUAAUAACAAUAAACAUGAACAUGUCAGAUGCAAUUCUAGCUUCGACCAUUUGCAUAACCAGAAAUCCUAACCUGAACAAGCACCAGAAGUGCCUCUCGGACUUUCUCCUUGCUGAUAAAUGGUCCACUGUUCCAAGUAAGAGCAGGAGUAAGAGAUGGUGGAGGGAUUGGUGGUGGAAACGGUUGAAGCACUGGGGCACCAUAUGGGCGUUGUAGACUCAAGGGAGUAUUAAGUGGCAGAGCUGUUGGUGUAGAUGAAGAGACAGGCUGCAUCAUCCCCGCAGAGGAGGAUGGAGGAGGAACAAAGAAUAAGGAAGGCUUUACAAGGUUAGGGGUAGGUGCUGACAGAGGUGGAGAUGGUAUUGCAAGGUUGGCACGAUAGGAGAAGCAACACUGGCGGGAUGAGAAGGUAAAGAAAUAGUUGUAUUGGACUGGUAAGGUUGUGCAGAGAUUGCUGCAUUAGAAGUAUUCCCCACAGUCAAAGCUGUCUGCAAUGAUAAGGACAGAUGUCAUAUACAAGGACAUCAUAGAAGUUGAACCUCACACAAAAAUGAAGUGAUAACAUGUGAAAAUAGUAUAUGACUUGCUGCAUUUUUGUGGUAAUGUUGCAUACUUAUGUAGAAACAUAUUAUUUCAAAGAAAACAUACACUGAAGAAGUUCACAAAAGCAGGAUCUUCAGGAACAUCAACAGCAUUUGAGGGAGUUGACUCUAGAGGACCAUCCAUAACUGCCAUAGUUGGAACAGCUUCCAGUUCCUCAAACUCACUGCAGUUUAACAUAAAAGGAACUUGAUGACCAAUUUAAGUAAUAAUUAGAUGAUAUACGAGGUUAGGGAAAAUGAUGAGUGGACCCUUAUGGAAGGUGAUUUCACCUUAGCUAAACAGGAAAAUAAAAAGAAAUCAAAGCUGAAUCCUCGAGUGCAAUGCAAAGAAUUUUUUCUCUCUUCUCUAACUCCUCUUAUUCAAAAUUGCUCAUCAUUGUGCUGUUCUUCGAGAUUUCGCUAGAGUAGAGAAAGCUAUUCUCCCGUUAAGUGCAGAGGAAAGAGAAGGGCAAAGGCCUGGUAUGAUGCUAUUCUAUAAGAAGUGAGAAAGUGAAGGGCUAAAAUAUUUUGCAAUUUGGAGGUGGUGUUUUUCAGUGUGUGUGCUUCUGAAUUUAUUACCUCUUUAGGAUCCAUAGAAAUUGCCUCUUGUUCAGCAUGCACUGUGCCUACGAGUAAGGCGAGCUUGCAUGGUAUCUAUUGUCUAUUUAUUUGGAUAUUCAAACAGGACUACCAGCAACCAAACACAAAUCCCCAAACAAAACACUCUUUCAAGUGCAAGGAAAGAGUAACUUGGGCAUAUUUAUGGUUCAAGCACUACCAUAACUAAGAAUGUGAUGCUGUCCACAAACACUAUAUCAGUGCCUUUUGAACUACAUCACAUGCUCGAAGACUUUUUUUUUAGUCAUACAUAAAUUAGCUAUAAAAUUAAGACUAUUAUACAACUAAAAAGAAAGAAAAAUUGUUUGCUACUACAUAUCAAAACUGGUAAUAGCAAUGUAAGAUGGCAGACUUCUUACUUAAACAGAUGAGAGGCUGCAAAUAAAAAAUUUGUGCAAAUAAAAUAUAUGAUAAAGAGCAUAAUACUUUCUUGGGGGCUAAAAAUAAUAUACAACUUGUGAAAUAUAAAUUGAGCUACCAUUACCUUUUAGAUGUAGCAACUUUCGACUUUUGAGGCACCUUGGAAUAUGCAUUCAGAAUCCUGCAUUUGGAAGCCAAAUAAAUAAUGUCAACAACAAUUUUACAAUAGAAAAAUUAAAAAUUGAUAAAUGGCAGUUGUAAUUUAUGUAUGUGUAAAGAUAGCAUCACAUCCAGGGUCCUCCCAUAAACAUGCUUGUAACAAGAAUUAGUUUGCCUCAACUGCUAGCAACUAUACAAUAGUAAAAAUCACUCUUAUGAACUCAACAAUACUAGGCACCAAUAAGAGUAUGAUACCGCCAUUCUAAAUGGAAGAGAAUACAACUGUUUUACAACUAUGUCACAUCAGGAGAUAUGCUAGGAGGAUUAAUCCAGAUACCAUCCAACCCAAUUUGGAAAACUCGAGUCAGAAACCAGGAGCUGUAACCAAACCUUACAAUCUUGAAGGAAGAAGGAGACUUGGGGCAUUUUUCCAGAUAGGUGACUUACAAGAUCUCCUGCCAAGAAAAUAUCUAUUGCUUUGAACCUCCAUUGAAAUUUCUUUUCCCUUUUUCUUGUUUUGACUUGGAACUUUCCAGCAUCAUCUAUUUGAUCUUUUUUAAAGCUAAAAUAGCAAUCUAUGGGUUGUCAACAUCUUAUCCCCCCCCCCCCCCCCCUCGGGGGGGCCCCCAAAAAAAAAAAACCAAUGAGUUGUCAAUAAAUAGCACCUACUCAACUUAUGUUCUCCAAUGGAUGACAAUGUGCAAAUCGACCUAGCAGCCACAUUUUUCCCCCCUUUCAACCACCAUUAGGCAACUUUUCUAACCUUUCUUCAUUGCCCACGUCUACAGAACUAUCAUAUAAAGACUACAUUAUUAUUGGGAUAGAGAAUAAAAUACAGACUAUAUUAUUAUUAUAUCUAAUUUUAUGAAUUAACUAGUGCAAGACUUAUUUAGUGUCAAAUCAAGAACUAAUUAGAAAAGACAACUCAUGAUAAUACAGACCUUAAAAGGCAAUAGCUAGCAACACCCCAUAUACUCCUAUUUUAGCCUUCAAUAUCCUGGUAAAAACACAAUUAAGUCUUGCAAAAGAACAUUCACAAGUAAAUUCAACAUUAAUUAAGAUUAAGUAUCUACUGCACCUUCAAUCAAUGACUGGGUGAAUAGCAUGGUCAACCAUCCAGUUCCUGUAGCCCUCCUUGUACCUAUGUUAGUUACAUUUUACAUAUUAAGCCACGAAAAUGAAGGGUCACAGCCUGGUAAAGAAAGCCAUUAAUUAAUAGUUUUUGUUUAAAAAGUUCUCGUUUAGAUCUUUCCUAUUCAAUGAAUCAACGUAAUCCAUGGAGAACUCUUCCAUUUCAAGCAUUGUUUGAAGAUAAUUGGAAAGCCUAAAGAUAGUAUACAAGGACCAAGAUAUCAAUUAGGUCAAAUAGUGAAUGUCAAAUAUAAAAAAUAAAUAAAAGAAGUUGUACAUGAUCAUUUACUAUCAAGUUCUGUAAAAUUGAAAAUACCAUUAUCCCUGUAGAGAUUCUCAAACAACUCUUUAGCAAAUUAUAAAAUAGUUAAAAAAAGAACGAAAGUUUAAAAAAAAAUGUACAACAGCCAUAUCAGGAGAUGUUUUUCUUCUCAAUCUCAAUAUUUUCUAGCCGUAAAACAAUUGAAAAGCUUAACACCAAGUGAAUUAUUAAGAAUUCAUCAUUUAAAUUCCCAAAUCGCAAAAUGUUGGUGCAACUAGGAAAGUGCAAAUGCAAUCACUUUACUAACACAAGAAACAUCAAUAGUGAGAAGCCCACUUUGUAUCAAAUUUGAAACAGAUAGAUAGAGGUCAAAAAAAUUAUAAAGAAACUCAAUUAAAAGCCUUUCAAACAGCUUUUGCAUGCAACAAGAACAAAUCAAAGGCGAUGUGAAUGUAUUCAAAGACUAAUUUACAAUCAUCUACAGGACAUAAAUAUCUUGGAUAACUACUCUCUAUACCUUACUGUCCCACUGAAAAUCAUCAAAUCCCUCCAAACAAAAAUGACAAAAUGGAUAAGAAUUGUCUGGUUAAACUUCAAUAACUUAGCAGCCACAGCAAAAACUUAUGUAGGCACGCAAGCCACUCAAAAUAGUCAUAUUGUUUGCUUUCCAAACAAAAGCCACUUUGUAAUGAAUAUUCAUAAAUUGCUACUACCAUGUUUGUUAAAGCACGUGAAAACCACCAUAACUAACUAAAUGUAACUGAUGAUCAUCAUCAAGUUCAUGGAAUCACAUAUCUGACAGUAUUAAUUAGUGCAAAUGGCAUGCUUCUUAAAACUCCGUAUUUCUCACAUGGGCGCCAUUCCAAUCAACCAAUGAUUCUGAUCUAGUCGGCAUAUUCAACCCACGAGCGAGUAAUACCUCCUAUUGCUUCUUUACAUUUCUCAACGAAAUUCCACAUUCUAACCAUACUUCUGAACUUGUAGCUCCCAUAGACUAAUACAAUAAAAAGAUUUCUUCCCACACCACCUCAGCCCCCACUCCUGAAAAACCAAUUUAAAUUCUCAUUGGCUGUACAACCUAUAGUCCAUACCAAAUUGAAAAAUUUACAAAUAUAGAACCUCAAAGAAUCUUCUUGCAUUCCAUUUUUUACGGCAAGAAAUUUGACUUUUACCACAUGCAAGUCAACAAAUAAAAAAAUCAUGUCUUUGUGAGAUGCACAUUUUCAGACGAAUCUGAAGAGCAAUGAAACCGUAAAAACCGAAUAUGAGAACACCGAGGACUCCAGAUAUCACCUAUAGAAUCUUCGGUCCACACUUGCAUGAUGAAAAUGAUGAAAAAAAAUUGAAGGCUUCGUCACCAGCUCCCCAGGUUGUUUUGUUCUCCUAUCUCCUAAACAUAAAGGAAAUGCAACCUGUUCUUUUUUCCAAUCUUAAGGGGCACAGAACGACUCUGGUAUAAAAUAGUCAGUUUCUAUACAAAAAUAACUCCUUUGCACUUGGCAUUCCACAUCUCGAAAUAAAAAGCAUGCAAGGAGGAGAAUAUAAUAGCAUUAAACAAGUUUUAUUAACCAAACUUCAAAGAUGCCAGGCAAGGCAAAAAAGAAAUCUGUACAAGCCAGAUCCCAAGAAUAAUAAUUCCAAUAUACAAUUCACAAAAACAAUAACUAAAAACAUGUUCAUGAGGCCUCAGCAGAAGCAACAUGUAAUAACCAUACUCUAUUAUUUGAAACACAUUUCCAAGUUUGGUUAAGAUUCUAAACUAUUCUCUAUGUGUCAAUUAUUAACAUGUAAAACAAAAUAAUAUACACUUAAACUACUACAGUAGUAAAACCAGUAAAACAACAAUACCUGCUAAAAAGAUUUGCUACCUCUUCACAUUCACGAGCAUUGUAGAACCAAAUCCCAUUUACUUCUUGGGAUGCAUUCCGAUAUAACAAAUACGGAACCUGAACUUCAAACUCAAAAUCUCCCAAAGGAUUUUCCACUAAAUUAUCUGCACAUAUCCAAGAUAUUGAAGCUUAUCAGUGCAAAAACAUAUGCAAAAAGACAUGAAGGUUAGGAGACAUAACUAAAACUUAGCAACAACUGAAAAGCACAACAAGAAAUGAAAUAUAACAUGAGUUGUAAACAAGAUAGACACGCGGUAUCUAAAUAAUUGUACCAACCCCCUCUCCUGAUUGUCAUAAAACAGCCAAUAUUUAACGCUAGACAACAACAUUGCAAAUACUCUAGCCUCUAUAUUAUUGGCAUAUAAAUAUUUUCGGUUAGGUACAUUAUAUUCUUCGUUCUAAAACCUCAAUUAUUAGCUAGUAGCCUAGUACUGUGAUAAAAUGAUUCAUCACUGAAAUUAAAACUAGUUCACGUACAAAUAAUCAAAACUGAAAUAGAAGCAACGAUAAACCAACCUGUAUUACGUCGAUUCAUCACAACAAACUGAAAUCGAGGCUGUGUGUUCUUGAAAAUUGAAAAAAUAAUAAUUUCACCAACUUCAUAUGUAAUACAAUCUCCAAAAAACCGAAUAUCAAAUGAAAAAAUGGAAAGCAUAAGAGAGAAAAGAAUCUAAUUUUAUUGACCUUUUGACGACGAAGAGAGAUCCUUCAACAUCCUUAUGACUCCAUUGGCUGAGGUCGAUGUUGAACUCGUAGAAGGUGACAUGAGCGGCCGUGAUGAGGAUCUCCUCAAUGAAUGGAUCGAUUCGCUGAAGAACUGUCAGGUUUAGGAGUUUUGUGCUCUGCUGGUCCAGAUUAGCCAUUAAUUUUCCGUUCUGCGACAUUUUUCAUAGUCCUUUUGGGCUCUGCCUCGAGCACAAGCGCCAUGGUUUUUCUGUGAGCUCUCUCUUUUGUAAAUAAAGUGUUUGAUGAGAUAGCCGAGAGAGAGUGAAAGAGUUGAGACUCGAGAUUGAUCUUGCUUUAACUUCUUUCAAACAUUUGGGAAAUAGCAUUUAUUUCUUUCAAAUUCUCUACUUUUUUUUCCUUUAUGUUAUUUAGACCCCAAAAUUAGAUUUAUUAUAAUCAUAUUUUACCCGUACACUAUUAAUCCCUUUUAUUUUAAAUUGUCAAUAUUAAUGUUUCAAUCAUAACUAAUGUGAUAACUCAUCGGUAACUGUAACAUUAACUUAAUUAUUAAUGUUUAUCAUGAAAUGAUGAGAUUAUUAUUCAAAACUUAGUAAACAUCAAUGACUAAUAUAAUAUGACAAUUACAGCUGAAUAUUAGUACAAUAAUUAGGAUUCCUAAAGUUAGUGAAUGUAUUAUAAUAUAUGUGUGUUACACUAUUUUAUGUCUCUCAAAUUCAAUUAAGUAAUUUCAGAGACCUAACCUUUUAUUACAUUAAAUUAAGAAUGUAUACAUGAAUGAAAGAUGUGCAGUUUUUGUUCUAUUUUUCACUAUUAUUUGCCAUUCAUCUACGUACGUCACUUGAUUUUUUGUGAUUAAUAUGCUUAAAUGGAUCUCUUUGAUAUAAAUAAAAUAAACGAAAAGUCUAAGAGAAAAAAAAAAUGAGGACCGAAAUUAUUACACCUACAACAAAUUUGCCCAGAGAGCAAUAAAUCAAACUUGCUUAGGAAGUUCAACAAUGAUUAGUUAAUAACUAAAAGAGCCUUCACCUAACAUGUUAAAGCUUCCGUCAAGCACAAACCCAUUGAAAGCUGUUUAGGUCCGUUUUAGAUCAUCGGAAAUUUGACAAAAUCAUAAAAACCCUCAUCUUAGAAAUUCCAAGCAUCAGGCAAUAGUCCUACUUUAUUGAUAUUGAGAGUUACACAAUAAAAGUUUCGUACAAAUUUUGCAAACGAAAAGCACAUAAUACACUUAACUAGGAGGGAAAAUUAAAGUGUAUAUAUUACAAACUGCUAACAAUAUACAGUAGUAAAAAUCACUCUUAUGAACUCACAAAUACUAGGCACCAAUAAGAGUGUGAUGCAGCCAUUCUAAAUGAAAGAGAAUACAAUUGUUUUACAACUAUGUCACAUCAGGAGAUAUGUUAGCAGGAUUAAUCCAGAUACCUUCGAACCCAAUUAACCAACUCGAGUCAGAAAUAUCUAUUGCUUUGAACCUCCAUUGAAAUAUCUUUUUCCCUUUUUCUUGUUUUGACUUGGAACUUUCCAGCAUCAUCUAUUUGAUCUUUUUUGAAGGUAAAAUAGCAAUCUAUAGGUUGCCAACAUGUUAUUCUGCCAAACCCCACCCCACCCCCUCCCGGGGGACAACAAAUAAUGCCUACUCAAAUUAUGUUUUCCAAUGGACGACAAUAUGCAAAUCGACCUAGUAGCCACAUUUUUCCCCCUUUCAACCACCGUUAGGCAACUUUUCUAACCUUCCUUCAUUGCCCACACCUACAGAACUAUAAUAAAAAGACUACAUUAUUAUUGGGGUAGAGAAAAUAUGCAGACUAUAUUAUUAUUACAUCACAUUUUACUAAUUAACUAGUGCACGACUUAUUUAGUGUCAAAUCAAGAACUAAUUAGAAAAGACAACUCUUGAUAAUACAGACCUUAACAAGCAAUAGCUAACAACAUCCCAUAUACUCUUAUUUUAGCCUUCACUAUCCUAGUAAAAACACAAAUAAGUCUUGCAAACGAACUUUUAUAAGUAAAUUCAACAUUAAUUAAGAUUAGGUAUCUACUGCACCUUCAAUCAAUGACUGGGUGAAUAGCAUGGUCAACCAUCUAGUUCCUGUAGCCUUCCAUGUACCUAUGUUAGUUACAUUUUAUAUAUUAAGCCAUGAAAAUGAAGAACUCUUCCAUUUCAAACAGUGUUAGAAGAUAUUUGCAAAGCCUAAAGAUAACAUACGAGGACCAAGAUAUACACAGAUAGUUUCUUUACGGGACUAAAGAGCUUUUUUAGAUGUUAAAACUGUUUCAAACUGUUUUUCUUGUUUGGUUUAACUAAGGAAGAGCUUGUGGAAGAUUAAAAAUGAUGUUUCCUGUUCUCUGUAGGAAGCUUUUAGGAGAUUUUUUGGGUUUUUUUGAAAGGUUGAAUUGUCAAAAAUACCUUGAUGUUAUUGUUUGCUAAAAGAUGUUAUGGACAACUAAACAACCAACAACAUUUUGUUAAAAGCUCUACUCGUGUAGGAUCUACUUAAAGAAUCUAUACCAAACAGAUUCUUAGACUAAUAACUCGAUCUUAAGUUUGUAAAAUUGGGCUCAGAAUCUCCACUAAGAACCCCGCUUCGGUGAGAAAGCCCAAGCCUGUUACUUUGUAUAAGCUUAUUCUGUAUGUUUGAUUGCAGGAACUGGCCGAUCAUACCGACGAGGUGAGUGUGCAACAUGAGGUGCUUGACGGGAUGUUUACUUUCUAUGAUACAACUAAAGCUAGCCUCAACAUAUAUCAGGUGCCUGCUUGUUUUUACCUUCUAGAUACUAAUAUUGUUUAGACGUGUAAUCUCUCUCUCCAUUGAACGCUAGACGGCUCGUCUCAAGCCUUCUACGUACAUCAGAGUCCUUCUUUAGCUUUUUAUGUAUAAAGUUUUGAUCUUUUUCCUUCAUUUGCUUGAAGCUCAUUACUGCAGAUUUUUUUUACAGGUUGCUAGUGUAACAUUCGACUUGCUGUUGCUUCUAGUGUUGGGAUCGUAUUUAAUUGUGCUUUUCAGCUUUCUUGUCACAACAACUUGGGUAUUACUCUUUCUCCAUAUCAAGCUUGAAGUUCUAAAUUUCAGUUUUAUCUUGUAUUUGAUGUUUUACAGGUUGCUGGAAAUGUGUUUGGUUAAUCAGAAAGAGAGCAAGAAAAUGAAAGAAAUCUAUUUCACUUUUUAUUUAUCAGCAUGAUUACAUUCACAAUGAAUCUAAGCUGCUAUUUAUACUUAAAUGACUACACACGAGAAUCUUCUUGCUAGAUAUUUCUAGAAACUCUACACGCACACUCGCACUGAGCUAGUGGUUACUAAAACCGUUACAACGAUAUUGCCAGCUCAGCAUAACCAACUUAUAACUAACACACUCAGCUGCAGGGGAAACCAUCAAGCUUACUGUGCAUCCUCUGUAAUCAAGCUUCUUUAAGCAUGCUCUGCAGAUCAUACGUCUGAAUUAUCGAAACAAGAUGAAUUAUUUUUUGUUUAUUUCAGCAGGCGAUCUAUGAGCGGAAUUUCUUGCAACAAAAGAUGUGUGUCCACCGGCUUGUAUUCAAUUCGCGAUGGAAUAAGAUCCCUUCAGCUUAUGAGAACUUCAAAUCAACUUAGGUCAUAUUUACACAAGGGCGCACAUGAUAUUAAUCUAAUGGCAAUUAUAUCAUCUAAAAUCCAAAACGAAGAGUCUCCCAUUUUCUUGUUCUCUACUCUGUUCAUAUUAUCAUAAAUUGACGAUUGCAAGGCAGCCGCAGAAAGGGAAUCGGCUUUUGGAAUAGGCGGCAUUUUUUUCAUAUGAAACAUAAAACAAUUUAAUAUCAAUUUUCUUCAGGAGACUGAGCAGAUUGUCUCGCAAGUGGCGCAUCGGUAUUGUAACGUCUGCUGGGUCUUACAUUAUCCACAAAAAUAACUCGUCCAUCUAGUAACUGCAAGUACAUACUUUGAGAUGCUUAAACUCAACAAUAUAAGCAUGGUAAAUUAGAGAAAAAUGAUGCAACUUUACCUUCCCAUUCAUGUCUGCCAAGGCUUUUUGGGCUUCCUCUUCUGUACUGAAAGUCACAUACCCGUAACCUUUUGAUCUAUUCUUACCUUUAUCCAUUAUUAUUGUAGCUGCAAAAAGAAAAGAAUCGGAUAUUAGAAAAUAGUGAAGAGGGAACAGGGGUUGAGACUUAAAAUAGAAAUAGACCAAAUCCUCAGUGACUUGGCCAAACUGUGAAAAAGCAUCAGCUAACAUCUCUUUAGUGGUUGAGAAAGAUACGCCUGCAAAGGAUGCCAGUUAAUUUUAUCAUAAUUAGAUGGUAAGAUUGCAAAUUCUGCAGCCAAAGGUAGUACGGAACUGAAUGAAGGAAAUCAAAUAUGAAUAUGUUUUCAAUCUCAAAAUAUUAAGAGUUACAAGUUCAAGGGAAUCAGAUGAUGGCAUGGUUGAAUUUUAUAAAUAUUUGAUAUUUUGGACCGAACAGGGCAAACAGAUGGAUCCAGAUAAUCAAGAAAAACAUCAAUUCCAUGCAACCAAAUUAGUGUGGGCAAUGCAAUUGAGCAACACUAUAAAAUUAUUCAAAGAAAUCUCUAGGUCAGUAUCCAAAUAUAUGGCUCCGUCCGUUCCACCACCACAACCAAAAAAAUCAGAUCCCCCCAUUUGGAUUCGAUUGAUUAAUUUGAGCAUAUAAAAUCGGGUUUUAAACUUCCCUAAUCAAAAUUUAUAUUCCACAGAAUCAGUUCCUUUAACAUGAUGCAUGACAUAAUAUUUUGUUUGCAAAAUAAAGAAGAAAGAUGACAUAAUAGAAACACUCACAGAGAGAGAAUACCUUCGACGAAAAGCUUCGAAGUGAAUCCUCUGUAAAAUACGAGUUGAGCUGCUGAAUUUUUCAAGUUUGAAUGAGAGACUGCGCCGUUUCUGAAAAUGUUUUUUUCUCAUUAGCGCCGCCAUUUUUGUAAUAGAGGGUAAAGAAAUAAGUAACAAAGUAAGAGGUGAGCAGAAGCGGCCCAAUUUAGUUAUAUGCCAUGUAUGCGAUCAAAAUUGAAUGGUUAAAUGGCAGCCACUGUGUUACAUCUUGUGUACGUAACAAACCGCCUACAUGGGAUCAUUGGAUUCGGGAAUAUGAAAUCCAAUGGAUAAUAUUGAAUUUAACGAAAAAUAGAUUACAGGUUGCAUUAGUCCAAGUUUAUUUCAAACAAACCAGCUGAUGAAAUAGCCGCUAAUCAAAUUUAAAAGGGAAAAAAAAAUCAAAUUAUAGGUUAUAGAUCUUAUUUCCAUCUUAAAUCUGUCUUUCAUGGUGACUCAAUGUGUAUACUAAUUUAUAAUUUGGAUCUAUAUUAGAGCUAAUGCUUCCCUAAAUAUCUAAUGAAAAUUUUCUUUUCAUUUAAUAAUAAAGAAAACUUGCAUUAAAACUAAAAGUACGGUAAUACCUGAUUUAUAAAUAGAUUGCAAUGUAAUUUUGAUAAAUAAAACAAUAAUUUAUGAAAUGGUUAUAACAUAAUUUUAAUUUUUUUUUCAAAAAGGAAAAACAACAAAAGUAAGAAAUAGAGAAUGAGGGCUACAAACUUUGUAUCUUAAACGGCCGUUAGAUUAUUUGUAAAUGAAAGCAACGGUGAGAUAUUGGUGGCUUAUGGAAACAGGUAAUCAUAAGGACUAUGAGUUUUUUUUUUUUUGUUGUUGUUACAUUGAUAUAUUACAAUCAUGAUUCUAUUAAUAUUUACAAUCAGAAUUUUAUCUGACUAUCUUUCAUAAUUCUAAACUAGUACAGCCUAAAUUCCUAUUCUCAUAUAAUAUCAAAGAGAGAUAUAUAUUAUUUUCCUCUAUUAACGAAGAGAUAUUUUUACUUCUAUCAAAUUUAACUAGAACGAGAAUUAAGUCAUUUUCAAUAGUCAGGACUCAGAACUCAUACACGCUAGUUUGAAAGUGUGGGGUGUGACAAUGAGCCAAGAGACCAUUGACAAGUACAAAAGAGUAGUUGCAAUUAAUUCAAACCGCUACACACGCUAUUGCAACCAAAUCGAGGGCCCUUUUUUGUUUGUUUCAUUGAAAAGUAGUUUGCACAAUUAAUUCAAACCGCUACACACACUAUUGCAUCUUUUGAAAAAGAAAAAUGGAAUAGUUUUCCAAGAUUAAUUCAGAGAAUAAGAUUUAAUAAUAAUGAUGUUAGAAAUCUUGAUAUUUGAAUCUUAAUAUUAUGUAUCAUUGAUUUAUUAAAUAAUAGAUUUCAUAGUUUCUAAAAGUAUUUAACCACUUGAUAAAUGUUAUAUUUGUUGGGACUAAAUUAGGACUUAAAUGUUGGAAUAUCUAACAUUGCAUAAAUAAAUAAAAACUUAAUAAUUUAUCUUCACACGACUAAUUAUUUUUACAUCACAACUAACCUUAAUUAUUUUUAAAGUAACAAUAUUAUUAAAUUGCGCUGACUAGUUAUCAAAAGAUGAAAGCAUGUUAAAAUAAGAAAGUACUAAGAAACAUGUGCUUAAACAAAGGUUAAGGCUACGAACAAUUAAGAAGAAACAACUUACAAUCAAAGGUUAAGAUUAUGAACAAUUUAAGGAAGGUAUUGAGCAGAGAAAGGGACGGAAUGGUUUUCUGAAUUGCCGGUGACAAGAAUGUUUGUGUUGUGAAAAGAAAUCCAAUGGUUUGUAAAUGGGUUGAAUUUUUCGCUCGCUUCAAUGACUUGCUUAUGCCCAAUAAAUUACUUUGCACAAUAGUAUUUGGGAUCCUAACAAUCAACUCUUAAUUUGGUCCCAAUAUAUUACUUUAUGAAUGCUUGUGUUGUUUUUUUUUAUAUAAAAUAAUUUAUUUAACUAAUCAUAGAAAUAAGAGAGAAAAGGGGGCAUUUGUUGACUCAAAGUCAAUUACAAAUACAUAACUCUUUCACGCGUUCAUGAAUUUCCAUGAAAGAGAGUGCCUCUCGUCUCUUUCCGGACAGUGACUCCAAUUAUGUUAACGUGACAAAUACAUAACGCUAUUACAUACAAGAAUAAGUUUUUGGAGCCGAGACUUGAGGGAGGUUCUAUCUAAUUCUAAAGGUUGUAACCAAAUCAUUAUCCCCAAUUUUUUUCAGUUAAAUAAAAUAAAAUUUAUGCUUAAGUAUAAAUAAUUUUUUUAAGUUAAAUAUAAAAUAAAAUUCAUGAACUUCCUAGAAAGAAAGAAAACCCUUCACCUUCUUCGUGACAACAAAUGAUGUUGAUAUGACAAAUACAAGCGCUAUUACAGGGAACAGCAUAAGACCGAGACUUGAUAAAUAUUAAAUAUAUAUUAUAAGUGGAGCAAACGAACAGAAUAAUAGAUAUUUUAUAAUACUCUUCAUAAAAAUCCAAGUUUUGAGCUGGCCUAUAAGCUUAUCUAGUGAAGUCUGGGUAUCCGCGUUGCCCAAGGUUCCGUUUGAAUCCAGGCCGUGUAGAUGUUUAAGACAUCGCAUAUGGACGGAGUGGAAAUAUUUUCAGUUGACUGAAUUAAAUAAAAAUAUAUUACAAUCAUAUUAUAUAUUAGCAGCAAAAAUAAAAAGAAAUGAAGAAAAACGCAUGCAAGACUUAGACAAGUCAAUUAAAAGCUGGGAGUAUCAUCAGUUCAAUUGAUUAUAAAUAGCGUAGAGCCAUCCUCUCGUUGUUGCAGAACUGAAGCAAAGAGACUCAGAAAGAGUGUGUGUAGGUGAUUAUAAUUAAGAAGAUAUAAUGUGUGGUUCAAAAAGAGUGUGGGUGAGUGAGUUAAUUUUCAUAUUAUUAGUAGUAAAAGGGUGGUGGAGUGAGGGAUGUUUGGAGCAAGAGAGGUCUGCUCUCCUCCAACUCAAACAUUUCUUCAAUGAUGAUCACUGUCUUCAAAACUGGGUAGACGAUGAGAAUUAUUCAGAUUGUUGUCAGUGGGAAGGGGUUGAGUGCAACGACACCACUGGCAGAGUGAUUGAAUUAGAUCUAGCACUAACUCGGAAUUGGGAAUCAGCAGAGUGGUAUAUGAAUGCCUCUCUGUUUACUCCCUUUCAACAAUUAGAGUCUCUUGAUUUAAGUUUGAACAAUAUAGCCGGUUGUGUUGAAAAUGAAGGUCCUUAAUUUACUCUAUUUUAAUUUUUCCUCCUCGUAAUUUCUUACAUCUAUCUGAUCCCUUUUGGCUUUUGUGUUAAUUUGCACGUGAUACAAUAAAAUUAUUUUUUAUUUUUUAUUUUUUAUUUUUUGGCAGGUCUGGAUAAGUUAUCAAGGUUGAACAACUUGAAGUUUCUUCAUUUAGACAUUAACCACUUCAACAACAGCAUCUUUUCGUCUCUAGGUGGUCUUUCAUCACUCAGAAACUUAUCAUUGGCUGGUAAUGAAUUGGAUGGAAGUAUUGAUAUUAAAAGUAAGUACGCUUCAACCCUUCUCCCCUGUCCCAUCUUUUGUGGAUCUUAUUUCACUGAGCAGCUGGAAGUAUUGAUACGAGAUCUAGCUAGACUCUUGUGAGUUUAGGCUUCAAGGCUUUGAAUAUUAUAAAAAUAGGAUUAAGAAAUUAUCAAUACAUAAUGUUAUUACAUACAAUAAUAGUUCUAAAGAUUGUAACAAAAUCAUUAUCCCCAAUUUUUUUAGUUAAAUAAAAUAAAAUUCAUGCUUAAGUAUAAAUAAUAUUUUGGACAUUCUUGAUAUUUGUCCUUUUAAGAUAAACAGCAACCCAAUUAUCUAUUUGUUUGUCUGUUUAUUUUUUUUAAUAACAGUUUGUUAGCAUAAAUAUUUACCUGUGAAGUCGAGGAGGAGAAAAUGUUAGAAAAAAUAAAAAGAAAAAAAAAUUAAGGGGGAUAGAAUCAGAUUUUCUUUUUUGAGCAAAGAACAUACGUAAAAAGAUAUUAAAUCUAUUAAGUCUAAUUGUCUAUAACGGCAAAUUGCAUAACGAAUAAUUUAUCAGUGUAAAAUAAAUUUUAUUAGAUUCUGAUUAUUUGUUUGAUUUCUUUUCUCUCUGGACUCAACUUAUAUUGUUUAUUUGAUUUGAUUUUAUUAUUUUUUAAAGAAACUUAUUGUUUAUCAAUACUGAAUGGCUUAAGAUUGAUGUCUUGAUAAUAGAUGGGGCAAUAUUGCAUUUUUAAUGCAGUAGACUUUGAAGUUAUCAUUGACAAGCUUAGAUGAAUUACUAGGACCAUAAUACAAAUGUCACAGGCAUCUAAGGCACUUACCAAGUUUUGAGUACAUUCCUGUUCCUAUCUAAUAGUUUUUAAUUUCUUUAAUUUAAGACCCCAUUCAUUAAUAUUUUCUUUAUUGUGAAGUUAAUUUUUUUAUUUGAAAUUAAUUUUUUUUAAAAAAAAAUUUGUUGACUUAUAGUUUACCUUUGUGUUAAAUGUUGGCAAAAUUAUUUUGUCCAAACCAUUGUUUUUGUCCUGAACGUCCAACUAAAAACUGAAUCAAGGGUUAAGUUGUAAGGUUUCAGUUCGUCCGUUAUAUUAAUUUAUUGUUUUAAUAUUAUGCAGUACAAAUAGGUGUAUAAGUCCAUCAUUUAAAUACAAAAUGAAACCACAUCAAUAUAGAAAUUAAAAGAAAAUGAAUUCUCACAACCAUACGGUGAGAUUCAAACUCUCUAUCUCCGAGGAUUUCUUAAAGUUAUUCUUAAAUUAUACUUAAAUGGUUAAAUUUAAUAAAUAAAGGUUUAAUUCUUUUCUCGCACAUUGUAGAAGCAAAUUUUCUCCUCUGUUGAAAAUUCUAAAUAUUUUUUUAAAUUAGGUUUCAACUAUGACAUAUCAGGAGAGAUUUGAUACAUUUCUAAUGCAACUGAUAUAACAACACAACUUUGUGAUUUUUACUAUUCAGGAGAAAAAGAACACAACCUGUAUAACCCAACCGUUUAUAUACAAACAUCGAAUCGCUUUUUAAAAUUAAAUUGGGAAAAUUGGGGAUAUAAUAGUUUUUCAUAUAUAUACAUUUUUUCCUUACAAAUUUAAAUUCAUGGUUGUCAUGAGCUAAAUAUACCUGCUUAAAGCCACUCAGUCGAACCCUUUGAGAGCUGCUUUAAAUUUUUCGGAUUAGCCAUAUUCUUUUCACUGAGAUUUAACAUAAAAAAAAGGAGAAAAUAAGUUAUUUAAUUAACUCUAUUUUAAGUGUUGGCAUAAAUACAGGACUCGAUUCCUUGAGUAACUUGGAGAUGCUGGACAUGAGCGACAAUGCAAUCGACAAUCUAGUGGUUCCUAAAGGUAUACAAAAUGUUCAAAUAUUAAUAAUUUGGAGGACAAUUUAAUUGAUUUGAUAAGGGAAUGCCCAAUGACACUUACCCAAAAUAAUUUAAUCCGAAAUUGUAUCUCAAAUAGAUUACAGAGGUUUGAGGAAGUUGAAUACCCCUUUUUUGGGGGGGGGGGGGGGGGGAGAGGGAGGCAGUGAUAUAUGGAAGCAAGGUGUUGCAAUCAAUAAAAAAAAUUUGUUGGUCAAUAUUCAAGGACUCAUCCAAAGUAAUCGUUAAAGUCUAGAGGUCUGCCCUCCACCAACUCAAACAUUUCUUCAAUGAUGAUCAACGUCUUCAAAACUAGGUAGACGCGGGAGAUGAUGAGAAUAAUUUAGAUUGUUGUCAGUGGGAAGGGAUUGAGUGCAACAACACCACUGGCAGAGUGAUUAAAUUAGAUCUAGCACAAACUCGAAAAUGGGAAUCAGCGAAGUGGUAUAUGAAUGCCUCUCUGUUUACUCCCUUUCAACAAUUAGAGUCUCUUGAUCUAAUUGGGAACAAUAUAGCUGAUUGUGUUAAAAACGAAGGUCAUUAAUUUACUCUAUUUUAAUUCUUCCUCCUCGUAAUUUCUUACAUCUAUCUGAUCCCUUUUGGCUUUUGUUUAAUUUGUACGUGAUACAAUAAAAUUAUUUUUUUUCAGGUCUGGAGAGGUUAUCAAAGUUGAACAACUUGAAGUUUCUUGAUUUAGGCUUUAACCACUUCAACAACAGCAUCUUUUCAUCCCUAGGUGGUCUUUCAUCACUCAGACAAUUAUCAUUGGCUGCUAAUCGAUUGAAUGGAAGUAUUGAUAUUAAAGGUAAGCAAGCUUCAUCCUUUCUUCCGUGUCCCAUCUUUGUGGAUCUUAUUUCAUCAACCAGCUGGAAGUAUUGAUACGAGAUCUAGCUAGACUCUUGCUAGUGCAAGCUUCAAGGCUUUGAAUAUUAUAAAAAUAGGUUUAAGAAAUUAUCAAUAUAUGCAAUUUUCUAUGCUUCUCAUAAUCAGACACAAUUCAAUCUAAUUAUUUCGUUUGUCCUGUCUUCAAAAGUAAAGAAUUGUACACUAAACGGAAAUCGACAUCGUAGCUUUUUAUUUUUUCUAAUGCUCUUUCUUUGUUAACGAGUUUAUAUCCUGAGAGUGGAUUGGAUUAAAAAAAAAAAAAAAGUUUUGAUGUUCAAGGUAAGCCAUAAUAACAUGCAUCUUAUUUAUCUGCCUAUAUCUAAAUUUGUGCACUGAAUUUAGUAUUUUGGUUAGUGUGAAGGGAUCAGAUAUUGGCUUCCAUAAACCAACUUGUAUUUACUUAAUUAAUUAAUUAACACCAUUUAGUAUUUAACAAAUUAAAAUUUCGUGUUUAAUUUGUCUUUUUUUUUUUUUUUUGAAACAAGAAUAAGGUAUAGCAGUAGGUAAAGUUGAAAUAAAUUUUUAUUCCUUACAAAUUUAAAUUCGCUGUUGUCAGCCAAAUAUACCUACUUAAAACCACUCAAUCAGGCCCUUGGCAACUGUUUUUUUAAGGUUUUUCUGGUUAGCCGUAUUCUUUUCUUAUUAAUAAAAUUCUUUUCGCUGAGAUUUAAGAUAAAAAUAAAAAAGAGAAAAUAAGUUAUUUAAUUAACUUUGUUUUAAGUGUUGGAAUAAAUACAGGACUGGAAUCCUUGAGUAACUUAGAGGAGCUGGACAUGAGCGGCAAUGCAAUCGACAAUCUAGUGGUUCCUAAAGGUAUACAAAAUGUUCAAAUAUUAAUAAUUUGGAGGACAGUUUAAUUGAUUUGAUUAGGGAAUGCCCAAUGACACUUACCCAAAAUAAUUUAAUCUGAAAUUGUAUCUCAAAUAGAUUACAGUGGUUUGAGGAAGUUGAAUACCCUUUAUUUGGGGGGGGGGGGGGGGGAGAGGGAGGCAGUGAUAUAUGGAAGCAAGGUGUUGCAAUCAAUAAAAAAAAUUUGUUGGUCAAUAUUCAAGGACUCAUCCAAAGUAAUCGUUAAAGUCUAGAGGUCUGCUCUCCACCAACUCAAACAUUUCUUCAAUGACGAUCAACGUCUUCAAAACUAGGUAGACGCGGGAGAUGAUGAGAAUAAUUUAGAUUGUUGUCAGUGGGAAGGGAUUGAGUGCAACAACACCACUGGCAGAGUGAUUAAAUUAGAUCUAGCACAAACUCGAAAAUGGGAAUCAGCGAAGUGGUAUAUGAAUGCCUCUCUGUUUACUCCCUUUCAACAAUUAGAGUCUCUUGAUCUAAUUGGGAACAAUAUAGCUGAUUGUGUUAAAAACGAAGGUCAUUAAUUUACUCUAUUUUAAUUCUUCCUCCUCGUAAUUUCUUACAUCUAUCUGAUCCCUUUUGGCUUUUGUUUAAUUUGUACGUGAUACAAUAAAAUUAUUUUUUUUCAGGUCUGGAGAGGUUAUCAAAGUUGAACAACUUGAAGUUUCUUGAUUUAGGCUUUAACCACUUCAACAACAGCAUCUUUUCAUCCCUAGGUGGUCUUUCAUCACUCAGACAAUUAUCAUUGGCUGCUAAUCGAUUGAAUGGAAGUAUUGAUAUUAAAGGUAAGCAAGCUUCAUCCUUUCUCCCGUGUCCCAUCUUUGUGGAUCUUAUUUUUAUUUAAAUUGUCUUUAAUUUGUCUUAUUUUUUAUUUUUUGAAGCAAGAAUAAGGUAUAGCAGUAGGUAAAGUUGAAAUACAUAUUUAUUCCUUACAAAUUUAAAUUCGUUGUCAGCCAAAUAUACCUACUUAAAACCACUCAAACAUGCCAUUGGCAGCAGUUUUUUAGGUUUUUCUAGUUAACCGUGUACUUUUUUGCUUAUUAAUAAAAUUCUUUUGUGCCGAGAUUUAAAAUAAAGAAGGAGAAAAUAAGUUAUUUAAUUAACUUUGUUUUAAGUGUUGGAAUAAAUACAGGACUGGAAUCCUUGAGUAACUUAGAGGAGCUGGACAUGAGCGGCAAUGCAAUCGACAAUCUAGUGGUUCCUAAAGGUAUACAAAAUGUUCAAAUAUUAAUAAUUUGGGGGACAGUUUAAUUGAUUUGAUUAGGGAAUGCCCAAUGACACUUACCCAAAAUAAUUUAAUCCAAAAUUGUAUCCCAAACAGAUUUCAUAGGUUUGAGGAAGUUGAAUACCCUUAAUUUAGGGGGAAGCGAAAUUCGAAUGAUAGAUGGAAGCAAGGUGUUGCAAUCAACAGGAUCACUACCGUCCCUCAAAACACUUUGCCUUUCGUAUACUAAUUUUACGGGAACAGUAGUUAAUCAAGGUAAGUAAAUCUUUUAUGUCGAAAAUAAUUGAAUUAAUAUAUAUAGCUAAAAUUUAUUGUUUCUACUUCUUUCUAAAUAGAAUUGCACAAUUUCACCAACUUGGAAGAAUUGAUAUUGUUCGAGUCUGAUCUCCAUGUAAGCCAGCUUCUGCAAAGCAUUGCAUUAUUCACUUCGUUAAAGUAUUUGUCAAUGCGAGUUUGUACACUUACAGGUGCCGUACAUGGUCAAGGUAAAUUACGGGUAUCUGAAGCUUUUAUGAUAUUAAUUCGAUAAUAAUUCUUUCUUUUCAAGUUAAUUUUUUCCCCUAAAAUAAGAUUUUUUUUCUUUUAAAUUUUAUAUAUUUUCAUUGUCCAAUAGUUCUAGCUUCUCUUAAUUGCAGGAUUCUUGAUUAAGGUUAAUGAAAUUUUAGUUCUGUUAUGUUAAGAAUAUUUCGAUCGCUUAGAAGAGUAAAGAAAAAUAAGUAAAUUAACCAAAAAAAAAAAAGAAAAGGACCGGAUUAUCCUUAUUCCCUUGCAUUAUGUGAUCAAUAUCAAAAUUAUAACCAUUUCUUGUUUAUUGCUUGUAGAUUUUCAUAAAUUCAAGAAUUUGGAACAUCUGGACAUGGAUGGGGCGCAGGUUGACGUCAACACCAGUUUUCUUCAAAUUGUCGGCGAAUCGAUGCCUUCUCUUAAGUUUUUAUCACUGACAUAUUUUAGUCUUAAUAAAAACACCAUUCUUGAUCAAGAUCAAGGUUAAUUAAUGAUUCUCCUUCUCCCUCUCUCGCAUCAUAACUAAAUUUAAUUGAGAAUAUCUAUAAUGCCAGCUAUUUAUAAACUUAAUGAAUGAUGAUAAGGAGCUAUUAUAAUGACAAAAACAACUGUAAAAUAGUGCGCUGUUGUAGUGUUAAUUGAAAAAUAAUGCUAAUUUUAUAGUUAUUUUGUUGCCAUUACGUCAGAUUCCAUUGUUCAAUUAUUUAAGUUUUAUGCAAUUAUAUUUUUCAGGACUUUGUCGGUUAGUGCAUCUGCAAGAGUUAUACAUCGGCUAUAACGAUUUGAGAGGUAGCUUGCCAUGGUGCUUGGCAAACAUGACAUCCCUUCAAGUGUUAGAUGCCUCUUCUAAUCAACUUACUGGAAACAUCUCCCCAGGCCUUUGUGAGUUGGUGCUUCUGAGAGAGUUACACAUUGAUAACAAUGAUUUUGGAGGUAGCUUGCCUUUGUGCUUGGCAAAUUUGACUUCCCUUCGAGUAUUAGAUGUCUCUUACAAUCAACUUACUGAAAACAUCUCCUCAUCUCCCCUCUUGCAUCUAACAUCUAUCAAAGAGCUCAUACUUUCAAAUAAUCACUUCUUCCAAAUCCCUAUUUCACUUGAACCACUUUUCAAUCUCUCAAAACUCAAGACUUUCGAUGGUGAAAUAUGCGCAGAAACUGAGUCACAUUAUAAUUCUUUGACCCCAAAAUUCCAACUGACUUCUAUCUCACUGUCUGGUUACAUAGAUGGUGGCAUAUUUCCCAAAUUCUUGUACCAUCAGCAUGACUUGAAGAAUGCUGAUCUCUCACACCUUAACUUGAGUGGAGAAUUUCCAAAUUGGUUGCUAGAAAACAAUACAAACUUAGAGACACUUCUUCUUGCCAAUAACUCUCUUUUUGGAUCAUUUCGGAUGCCAAUUCAUUCCCACCAGAAUUUAGCAACAUUGGAUGUCUCCAACAAUUUCUUUCAAGGCCAUAUUUCGGUAGAAAUCGGAACAUAUCUGCCAGGUUUAAUGGAUUUAAACUUAUCUAGAAAUGCUUUCAACGGUAGCAUUCCCUCUUCAUUUGCUGAUAUGAAAAUGUUGGAAAGGUUGGACAUAUCUGACAAUCAGUUGACUGGUGAAAUCCCUGAGCGCAUGGCCACGGGUUGCUUCUCAUUAGAAAUUCUUGCAUUGUCAAACAAUAGUUUGCAAGGUCAUAUAUUCUCUAAAAAAUUUAACUUGACAAAUUUGAUGACGUUGCAGUUGGAUGGUAAUAAAUUCGCUGGAGAGAUCCCAGAAAGCUUAUCUAAGUGCUAUUUGUUAGAAGGAUUAUAUCUGAGUGAUAAUCAUCUCUCUGGUAAGAUUCCAAGAUGGUUGGGUAAUUUGUCAUAUUUAGAAGAUAUUAUAAUGCCCAAUAACAAUCUUGAAGGACCAAUUCCAAUCGAGUUUUGUCAGCUUGAUUCUCUGAAGAUUUUAGACCUUUCAAACAAUAGUAUUUUCGGAACCUUACCAUCUUGUUUUAGUCCAGCAUCUAUCGAACAAGUUCAUUUGUCAAAAAACAAGAUAGAAGGACGAUUGGAAAGUAUAAUCCAUGACAGCCCUUAUUUGGUGACAUUAGAUCUUAGUUAUAACAGCUUACACGGAAGUAUUCCAAAUCGGAUUGACAGACUACCUCAAUUAAACUACCUUCUUUUAGCUCAUAAUUAUAUUGAAGGCGAAAUACCAGUUCAAUUAUGCCAGUUGAAGGAAGUGCGGUUGAUUGAUCUUUCUCAUAAUAAUCUAUCUGGUCAUAUUCCUCCUUGCUUGGUUAAAACUGCACUCAGUGAGGCAGUAGCUCCAACUUCUAGUUCGUGUGGUCGAGCGUCUGGCUAUGCACAGUUCACAACUUCUCAUAAUACAAGUGGAUCUCCGAUGGGAAAGGAAGAAAUUGUACAGUUCACAACAAAGAAUAUGUCCUACUAUUAUCAAGGAAGAAUUUUGACGAGUAUGUCUGGGAUUGAUCUUUCUUGUAACAAACUGACAGGUGAGAUUCCUACUCAAAUUGGAUGUCUUACAAGGAUUCGUGCACUAAAUCUAUCUCAUAACAAUUUGACGGGCACAAUCCCGACAACAUUUUCAAACCUGAAGCAAAUUGAAAGCUUGGACCUCUCCUACAACCUGCUGCAUGGGAAAAUCCCUUCUCAGCUCACAGUGCUAAAUACAUUGGCGGUCUUCACAGUAGCAUACAAUAACUUAUCAGGCAAAAUCCCAGAUAGAGUCGCACAAUUUUCAACUUUUGAGGAAGAUAGCUAUGAGGGGAAUCCUUUUCUUUGUGGAUGGCCACUGUCUAAAAGUUGCGAUGAUAAUGGAUUAUCAGCAGUGACACCAGAAGCUGACACUGAUAAUGAAGAAGGUGAUAGUUUAAUUGACAUGGACAGUUUCCUGAUCACUUUUACAGUAUCUUAUGGAAUUGUGAUAUUAGGAAUUAUUGGAGUUUUGUACGUAAACCCCUAUUGGCGGCGAAGAUGGUUUUACCUUGUUGAAGUGUGUAUGACCUCUUGCUACUAUUUUGUGGCAGACAAUCUUCUUGUUCCUAGAAGAUUCUAUGGUGGAUGGAUGUAAUUUCAUUUACUUCACAACCCACAAUUUUUUUUUUUCCUUUUUGCCCUCUUCCUCACAAUAAACACACCUAACACACCAAGCCGUGCCCAAAAUAAUCCUAUUUUAUUCAUGUCAUGAAUCCAAAAACUAUCCCAGCUCACUUUGUUUAACCAGCAUAACUAAAUUGUGGGUAUAAAUGAACACACUUUCGAAGCCUGUAACUUAUAAUAAGCUCAAACCCAAAAAUGACAUUUAAAUCCUGCAAGUGUUUUUCAUCAUCCCGAACAAAAAGAAACAAGAAUAAUUAUAUACCAAUAAUUUUUCCAUAAAAAAUACUGAUUUGAGUUGAAACACUAUACAAACUGGGUUUUAUUACACUUGCAGAAAGCUACACGGUAGACAAAAUCUAGCAGCUACAUAUUGGUAUCACUUUCAGCUGGUCAUGAAUGGUGUGCAUUCAGCAGUGCUCAAUAGACCAUGUCUAUGAAUUGAUUGUCCUAUUACAUAUAAAAGCUGGUCAGAUAUACAAGGAAAAAAAUAAUAAUUGAAAAUGCAUCACAAAAAAUAAGUGUUUCGCAUUAGUGUUUGCACUCUAAGCAUGGCAAAGUGGUGCGGGGUUCAUGAUUUUGAAGACUGUGAUAAGUGAAAAAUAGUUCAAUCCACUGAUGAACAUAAAUUUAUUUACAUGUCAAUUUAGAUAUCAUCAAAAAGUAAACAGUAAUUCACAGUCACUUAAAAUAGUUGAUAAAAUGCGUGCCAUGAAUGCAUUUUUGUACAUAAGAAAUCCAAAGAGUAUUUCUGACAAUACAAAUAUGCUAGCUUUAAUUCUGCUGUCAAUAUGCAAUUAAGAAGAUUAUACCAGCUGCAUGAUAAAGUUCCCCUAAUCUUAAUAACAGUAAACAUGAACAUGUCAGAUGCAAUUAUAGCUUCGAGCAUUUGCAUAACCAGAAAUCCUAACCUGAACAAGCACCAGAAGUGUCUCUCGAACUUUCUCCUUGCUGAUAAAUGGUCUGCUGUUUGAAGUAAGAGCAGGAGUAAGAGAUGGUGGAGGGGUUGGCAGUGGAAAAGGUUGAAGCACUGGGGCACCAUAUGGGCGUUGCAGACUCAGGGGAGGAUUAAGUGGCGGAGCUGUUGGUGUAGAUGAAGAGACAAGCUGCAUCAUCCGUGCAUANNNNNNNNNNNNNNNNNNNNNNNNNNNNNNNNNNNNNNNNNNNNNNNNNNNNNNNNNNNNNNNNNNNNNNNNNNNNNNNNNNNNNNNNNNNNNNNNNNNNNNNNNNNNNNNNNNNNNNNNNNNNNNNNNNNNNNNNNNNNNNNNNNNNNNNNNNNNNNNNNNNNNAGAAGGUAAAGAAAUAGUUGUAUUGGACUGGUAAGGUUGUGCAGAGAUUGCUGCAUUAGAAGUAUUCCCCACAGUCAAAGCUGUCUGCAAUGAUAAGGACAGAUGUCAUAUACAAGGACUUCAUAGAAGUUGA
RNAcentral lists this long non-coding RNA (64324 nucleotides) under Citrus x clementina. Its description in RNAcentral is "Citrus clementina (C. clementina) long non-coding RNA (CCLE_LNC001061)". Lineage: Eukaryota; Viridiplantae; Streptophyta; Magnoliopsida; Sapindales; Rutaceae. The record is from RNAcentral.